Molecule: long non-coding RNA, 73230 nt
Filed under: Populus tremula
Lineage: Eukaryota; Viridiplantae; Streptophyta; Magnoliopsida; Malpighiales; Salicaceae
Description: long non-coding RNA (PTRE_LNC000910)
Source: RNAcentral
UCCCCACGUGCCAUCGCCACUGGCGGCGCGUGGGUUCACGCGCGGCCGUGAGAAACCAAAAAAAGAACAGGGGUUCGGGAUGUCUUCUUCUUCUUCGUCUUCCCACGCCGGCUGUGGAGGUCACCGCCACCUGCAACAAGGGAAACAACGCAUAAACAGCAGUAGAUUUUAAAUUUUUCUUUGGUUUCAAAUCUGUUUUUGGUUCUUUCUUCCUUCGUCGUUUUGGAUCUGCCCCCCCUCUCGGUUUCGCCUUCUUCUCUGUGGGGGUUCUCUGCCGGUUGCAGGUCGCCCGUGGCCGCUGAAGCUACGGUGGCGAUGGGAUGGAUCCGCUGCCGACCGGGUUGUUGUGGAAGAGAUCAAGGGGGACGGCGCUGGUGGGAUGGACCGACGCUGCUGCGGGGGGGGGGCGAAGAUGGGAAGAUCUGUGGUGUUGCUGAUGGCGGUCGAUUAUGGUGGAGACACCGCUGCUGGGAGGAGGAGAUGAAGACGGUGAAGCUGGGGAAAACUCAAGAGGAGAGCUCCUGCGAUUUCGUGGCUGUUAUAGCCAAGGGAGCUGGCGGCUGGAGGAAGGAGAUCGGUUGUGUUUGGGUCCGGUGAGGGAGAAGAAAAUGAAAUCAGGGGAAGGUGUCGCCGGCUGGUUUCAGAGAAAGAAGAGCUGGAAAAAUUAAUGUGGGGGCGGCGGCUGUCUUGCUUCAGGAGAAGAAAAAUAGGGGAGAAAAAUUCAAAAAAACUAACCGGGGGAGUGGGGUUUUCUUGGGGGGGGUAUUUGGCCGUAUGUGGGGAGCUAUGGCUGUGGGGGUUUUUCUGAAAAAUGGAGGUCCAGUGGGGGAGAAGGAGAAAAUCUCAAAGGAGCUGGGGAUCGUGGGUCUCUGCCCACUGCUCUCGGGACCCGGCGAAAAAUGGUUCCAAUCUUCCCCCCUCUCUUGCAAAGCUGGGAAUGAGAAGAAAUAUGGGUUUUUUUCAUUAUGAGGAGGGCCACCAUGUCGGCGGGAAACAAGGAAAAGAAGACCAUGGGUGGGGGCUAAGUACUUAAUUUUCAGCCGAAAGAGAGAUUAAAAAAUGGUCUUGCGCCAGGGGAAACGGCUAGUUUCGGGUGAAGAGAAAAAAAAAAAAUUCUUAGGUUGCCCCUCCUUCCAAAAUUCAAAAUUCCCUAUACAUAGGCAAAAAUAUUGUUUCGGCCUCAAAAUUGGUCCCUUAAUUUUCUUUUUUUUGUAAAAUUUGAUUUUUCUUGUUUUUUUGUAUUUUUUUGAAAACGAGCAAUAUCAACGUCGAUUCAAAUACGGAAAAUCAAUUAUUUUAAAAAUGACGCGUGAAAAGUCGAACGCGUUCGAAAGACCCUUAAAAAUUUUUAAUUUUUUUUUAGACGACGUUGAAAAUGCUAAAAUGACGAAAAUAUAUUAAAAAACAUAUUUUUUUGAUUUUCAUUGUUUUUCUCUAUUUUUGGAAUUUUUUGAAAAUAUAUCAAAAACAUGGGUCAAAAAUUGGGUAGCAACAAGGAUGUCCUGCCUGACUUUGCACACCCCUAAUGCCAAUGGGGGAUGCAUCACAGGAAAUUUUAAAAACUUGAGAAAAGUCAGCAAGUUUUUGUAAAAUUUGAGCCUCUGCCAUCUUUUGCUUGAUGACUUUAAUACUAAAAGCUUGAAUUAAUCGACAAUAAAAGUUGGAUAGACAAUGAAAGCUUCUGAUCUCAAAAAAUGAUUGUGGUUUUGGCCACUUCAUGAUUGCCCGAACCUUCUCAGGAUCUGCUUCAAAUCCUUGCUGAGAUAUGAUAAAUCCCAGAAAAUUCACUUUGGAUUGAAGGAAAGAAAAUUUGUUAUAAUUAGCUUAAAACUUUUCUUGUCAUGGCAACUUUAAAAUUUGCUUGAAGUGUUCUAAAUGCUCCUCUACAUUCUGACUGAAAAUAAAUAUGUCAUUAAAAUAUACUACAACACACCUACCUAGAAAAGAUUUCAAAGUCUAAAUCAUCACCCCUUAUAAAGGUGCUUGGUUCAUUUCUUAGGCUAAAGGGCAUCACAAGUCAUCCAUACACUGAUGGUAACCGCUCAUUAGGUCUCGUUUAGAAAAUAAUCCUGGCACCCUCUUCAAUUUUCCUUCUAAUAAAAUUACUAAAUAUUUCUAUAACAAUUAUCUAUUUGUUUUGUUUUUAAAUGUAAUCUAGUAUUUAUUAAAAGAUUUCAACCACAUUUUCAAACACUAUCUUACUUGCUUACCCCAUCCCUACUUAUUUUUGUUCCUAUCUGUCUGAGCUCCUCCAUUGAAUCUAUAUCCUCCUCCCUUCUUCUUACAAUGGCAGAAGAAAGCAAAGCAUGCACUUUCAGCCUUCUUUGUAGGCUGCGAACACGUUGCAAAUACAUGCAGGUACGUAGCACCGUCAUAACAGUACAUGAAUUUGUUAGUCUCGUAUUGUAGGCGUGAUGACCAAAUGAAUAUUAAUUAUUUGCUUGCUGGCAUCCAUUUUGUUUCAUUAUUUAAAAUAUUGUUUUAAAUUUGUCGGAUUUCGAAGGACAUCAUGUCGCAGUGUUAAAAAAAAUAAUAAUCUUAAAAAGUAAAAGAUCACACCUUUUUAUAUAUUAUAUUAUAUAUAGAAAAUGAUUUUCUAAAUUUCUUUAUGUUUUUUUAUUAAAAAAUUUAAUAAAUAAAAAAUAGUCUAAACAAAAUUUAGUUUGGUUCUUAAAAAUAUAUUUCUCUUUAUUUUGAACGGAUUAUAUUUUUAAAAAGUUACAAAAAAAUCACAUAAGUUAUAUUAUUUAUUAAUUAUAUUAAAUUUAGUUCUUAAUUUUUUUAUUGCUAUAUAUUAUUUGGAAUUUUUUUUUAUUCUUUGUCAGUUUUAUCUUUUAAAAUUUAAUUUAAUUUAAUUUUUAUAUCAACUUUUAUUUUCAUUUUUUUAAUUGUUAUUUAUUUCUCUAAUCUUUUUUUAAUUAUAAUUUUUCUUAUUUGUCAUAUCUACUUUUCAUAAAAACUAUUUUCCAAAAAAAAAAAACUUUUUGUAAACUAACUAGUUUAACAAUAUAAAUUUAUUAUGGACACAUCUCACAUCUUUUAACUUGAGUAUUUAUUUUACAGAAAAGUCUUGCACAACACCAUUGUAAUAGUGAUAGCUUCUUAGCAAUUGCAGUAACAAACCGGUUAAUUAAUGGUAGUAAAACAAAGGUAAAUACCACAUUGGGUCAAUUUAGCUAGAAAGCGUAAGGGGGAUGAUAUUUGAUUUUCGAGGGAGGGAUACAGUUGAGUACUUCUCCUAACCCAUUAUGACCUAGGAUUAUGUUCUGGUUUCUACCUCGGGAUAGCCUUCCAAUCAAAUAUAUUAUUAAAAUUCGAGAACAACAACGUAUGACGAAUUUGUGUGAUUUAGUGAUUAAAAUAUUAAUUGCAAAGAUAUGACAACAAAGGGUGAUAGAACCAUUUGAACCAUAUUUGUACAGCCCAAAUGAAGUCGUAUGAUAAAUAUUAAUUUGGCCUGAACUAAUACUUUUUCAAGAGUUGAAUUAUGAUCGUCCUCGUAUUGUAUAUUAAAUUUAUUAAAUUGUAAAUUAUGAAUAAAUACCUCUCGGGAAUUAAAAACACAAGAUUGUUGUGUGGCCACGAUAUGAUGGUAAAUUUAAUCUUAAAUAUUCAGACAUUGUAUAUUAAUAUUUAUAUUCGCAACAAUCAGAUAUAUUUAAAUACUUACUUCAACCAUUAUUAUCCCAUAACUCAGUGUGCCUUCGUCAAAGGAGAAGCUCAUAGAAGAAGUUCAGCUUGUUGUUUUUUUUAACUAAAUUUAAUUUCAUAUAAUGAACUGGAUCCAAAUAGAAUUAGAUAUCAAUACAAAAUAUUUAACUUAAUACAGAAUCAUACAUCAUAAGAAUUAAAAUACAGUAAAAUAGAAAGUAAUUAAGUGUGGAAAACUAAUCCCAGCAUAGUGUAUAAAAAACAAGCACACGUAUAACAAAUUCAUACAAAAGGUAAGAGAAGAGGUUGAGAUUUUAUAAAUUCAUCUAAUAUUUUCUUCUUCAUCAAAUAUGCUUAAGUUUUGAUAUGUCAUCUUCAAACACAAGAUUUUUAGCUGUAUUUAUGAGUAGGGAAAUAAUAACAACAAUGUAACUAUUUAGAUCUAAAAUGAACCAAAAGGAGGUUGAUGGAAUACAUUUUAACUAUAAGAAAAGAAAGGUAGAAAAAAAAAAGAGAGAGAAAGAGAGAAAUUGAGGGAGAAGAUGGUUUCUAAGUUCUCAAGGUUCUGAUUUGAUCCCUUUUCAUUGUCACAAGAACAGGCCUCAAUAAUGGUGCCAAACUUCUUGCAUUCUUUAAUUUGUGCUGGUCUUCUUUGAAUCUCCUUAGAGUUUUACUAUUGAUAUAUUCAUUGUCAGACAGAUAUCUUUCUUCUUAGGAACCACCUACUCAUCAGUUUGCAUUACAGCCAUAUACUCUGACUAAUAAUUUGCCACCGCCUUUUGUUCAAAAAUUCAAAAGCUGAGCAGACUAUCGUAACAUCGACCUUGAAAGUAGCUUUCCCAUCAAAUAAAAAAUCAAUCUCGUUUUCAGUUCAGCCUGACUCUUUUGCCAGUUUCUACUAGGUGAAUUCAAGACUUUGAUGUUGGGUCACAUGAAUCUUCUUUUUUCCUUUAUCUAGAGGAUCCUUGUAAAGCUUUCUCCAAAUAUUGUGCAUAAAGAUGAUGGUUGAGGAUGUUGUUUUCAUCCAAAAUCAUGGAUUUUUGGUUAACGAGGAUCACACCUUCGUAAAUAAUAUCCAUCACGUCCUUUUCGUAGAAGGUAUGCUAUCUUCUUUGAUAUUGCCUGGCUGUUGUGUUACAUCUCAGGCUCUCACCUAAUUGUAUGUAUUUUCCGUUCUUAUGACGCUUUAGAGGUCAAUCUUAUGAAUUUUGGAUUAGAGAGAUUUGCGCUGUUGGCUUGAUAUUGUACUCUAUUUGAGAUGUUAUUUGCCUCAGGUGAACCAUAUUAUGGCAUGCUGCAUUAAUUUAUUUAUUGGCUCGAUUUCGCUGGAGAUCUCGUGUACACAUCAUGAUUGCACUUGUUUUACCCUUGCAAAAGACAUACUCUUACAAGGAAAAAGAGAGGAGAUCUGUACAGAAUUACAAAGGGUACAUUUUUUUAUAAAAUCUUAGAUGAAAGUGAGACAGAAUGGAGGGGAAGCGUUAGGCGUGAUUUCAUUACUGUUACAGUAUGAACGCCGUUUUUUUUUUUGUGUCUUCUUCUAGCAUUGCCACUAUCUUCAUAUAAGAUUUGAUUUUGAAUUAUUUCUCUUUCAUGGGCCAAGUUUGGUGGGUUGAUUCUUCAGACUAUAGAUUUGUUUUUUUGGAAUAGACUAUAGAUUUGUUAUAUGCGUUUUGAAGUCGCAGAUCUGCUUUGUUUUGAUGCAGGAAGCAGAUUUAUCAGUUUUGAUUUCUUAGCACAUCGAGGGAUGCUCUGCCAAGUGGAGCUCAUUGACCGAACUCUUCUAUUUGUGAAGUUUAUGCAACAAGGUAAGUCCCUUUCAUUCUUAUAUACAAAGUUAAAUGGAUGGAGGGUUCCACAAUUAACGUAAAAUUAAUAAACCGUGUCGAGUUUAAUUACUUGAUGUAAGAAUUUGGCUAGUGGGAGGUCAGGGUUGGCAUUGUCCCAUCUAGAUUAGGGAGUGGAAUUAGAAAAUCUGAAGUGGGGUUCUCGCAUAAUUAUAAAGACAGGCUUGAAAAUGAAUCGAAGUGAAGAUUGUAGAACAGUACUUAUGUAGCUUGAUUUGGCGAGGGGGGAGGGCAAGUGCGUUAACUGUCAUUACAAGGUCGGUAAUGGUGUCCUUGAAGUGCUUUUCAAGAGUCAUUUAAUACUUACAAGUAAUUAUAAUAUUUCGUUUUUAUUUUAAACACUUAAAAUAUUACCAAAUAAAACAACGUUUUUUUUAAACUUUAAAAAGGCCAUGUCCACCCAUCUUCGAAGCAUAAUGUAAUAAUAAUUUUACCCUAUCUUUAAAAUCCAAUAGAGUGUAGCAUGAUUAUCUAAAUAAGUAGGGGUGUGGUAAAGAACAAUCUCAAUCCAAUAGUUUAAGCUGUUAGGUAAACUCUUAGGAUAUAAUUUAUAUUAUUCUCUAACACAUCUCCUCAAGUGAAAGCCCUUUGGCUUGAAACUUGCACAGACUCACAUUACCUUGUGUUUAAUUUUUAUCAAAUAAAUGGAGGUUGUGAGAUUUGAACUCGUGACCACUUGAUCAUUAAGGUUCUAAUAUCAUGUCAAAGAACCAUCUCAAUCUAAUAGCUUAAAUUGUUAGGUAAUGUUUUAGGAUAUGAUUUAUAUUAUUCUCUAACAAGACGGAACCAGAAAUUUAGGAUGGAUGUCCCAGUUAAAUAAUAUAUGAUUUUUGAGAGUUUGAGAGGGCUAAUUAAAAAUUCAUAAAUUAAUAAUUUUAAAGGGUGUAACUCAAUUGAUCAAGUAUUGAGUUUAUUCUCUAGAGAUCAUCAAUUUGAGUGAAACAAACUUCAAUACUAUUGAAAGCUUGCAUGGUUGUUAAUUUCAAGAUUAUAAGAGAUUAGUCAAGUAAACAUAAAAAUAAAAAUAAAAAUUUAUGGGGGUGAAGGGUAUUAAAUUUGUUAAGAAAAUUUAGAAUUUUGGGGUGGCAAUACACUUAAAUCACAUGCUAUAGGUCCGCACCUGCAGACAAGAUAGUACCACACAUAUCAUUGAAAUCCACCGGCAAGUGAGUUAAUUUGUAUGAGGUAGUCGUUGCACACACGGUUUCCCCUUCAAGGCCACGAAUAGAGGCGCCGGCCUUUAAUACUUGCAAAUACAAGGGUAGUAACUUGAAAGGACAAUCUUCAUAAAAAUACCAACGUUCUCUAAAUUUGUCCAAGGCCGCGAGCAUUUUUUUCACGACCUAGUUGCGAUGGCCGUUUUCAAGAAGUAUAUAUUGCUCAAGUUUUUUGAUGGGUUGAAAUGAAAGAUAUAUUUUAACAUGAAUGAACGUUACCACAAGAUAUUUAGUCACGUUUUGGAAUAUGCUACUAAUGAGGACUGACAUCUAUGGGACCAUCUAGAAACUAGGAUAGAUAGAAGAAACACGAUCACUCAAAUCUAUGGGACCAUCUAGAAACUAUGACAUGCCACCUUUUUUUCUUCUUUUUUUCGGGCCAACAAAAUUAUCAUAUGACAAUAUCGUAUCGCCGUAUCCUAUCAUUUUCGAAUAAGAAAUGAUGUUUACUGCUUGCUGACAUGACUUCCUAUAGCGGGCGAUCAUAUUGGUUUGCGAGCCAUUGCAAUUUUUAUGUCCUUAAUUGCUGAUAGCAUCUUAUUUCCCUUCUCUUUUUCUUGUUUGAUAGCGCCAAAUGAUUUUUUUCUUGCAAUGUGCAAGAGAUCACGUGAAUUAGGAUGGUAGAGAGAUUAUCCUUUACUUUUAACAAAUUUGUAUUCCCCUUGUGUGUGUAAAAUAUAGAAUUAAAACUUAUGAAUUAGUAUUUGUUAAAAAAAAUAUUUAAAAAUGCAUUAAAAUAAAUUAGUCAGAAUAUUGUAAUAAUGCAGAAUUGAAUUUUGAAUUCUAGGGUCUUUGAUGAAGAAGUUUGAUUAUUAGAAAUAUUUAUAUAUAAAUAAAUAAUUAGAUUGACAAAGUUCACUAAUUAUAUGUUAUAUGUUUUUUUUAUAAAAAAAUCUAAAAUUAUUUUUUCUAUUUAGAAAAUAUCCUUGAAUUAUACAAGGAUAUAACUAAAAAUUCUCUCAAAAUGCCUUUUAAAAUAAAAAGAUUAAAACUACUUGAUCAUUAAAAUUAAAAAAUAUUUUUUUUUCAAACAAGUAGUAUUUUUGAAAUAAAAAUAUAACCAUGUCAGUUUAAAUAAAGUUUUUUAAAUAAGAUAUAUUGAAGAAAACGGAUAUUAUACAAAGUCAUUGAAAACACAACAAAAUAAUAAAUCUGUUGAAUUAUAAAAAUAAAAACAGACUGAAUUAUUCACUCUAAUACUUACUGAAGAUUUACCUUCACCUAGCGUGGCAUCGAUCGUUCUUAUUUUAACAGAUUUCGGACUGUUUGUUCUGUAUUAAGUUGGCAUUUUCUUCGUGAUCAUUAUAUCUCAAAGCACAAUUAAAUCUUGUGUUCAUGGAUUAAAAUAUUUAAACAAAUUAAUUUUAAAUAAAUAAAAAAUCUCCUUGCCGUCAUUUGAUCUUGUGUUCUCAUUUAUUACACAAUACCAAAUAGAGGCUAAUCAUCCCAUGUUCAUUUCCUUGCCGUCAAUAAAAUCCGAGGCACGCCAAAAUCUUAUAGCCACAGACAUGGAAUGCCCUUUUCCUGGACCAAUAGGCAAAUGAAAAGGUCAACCAUUUUAGACAUGUCAAAUCGCUUUUGACUUGCAUUCUUUCUUGUGUGGGGCUGCUUGCCUUUUCUUGUGAAUUGAUUUUGCAAGAGAAACCUAAAAAUGUCUUCGAUUCUUGAAGUCUAAGAUCACGUUAAUUUGUGUCUUCAUUCCAAGGUGGUUGUUGAGCGGUAGCUAUAUCGAGGAGAGACUUGCAUGACACCCUGUGUUUUUCUCUUGCUCUAAUAAAGUAUAAAGUCUCAUCCUGGACGACACAGCGCCGAGUAGGAAAGCUUUGUUCUCUUCAAUACACCUGGACGGUGGGAUCCUUUCUGAAGCCACUGCCGGCAAGGAUGCUUCUCCUAGCAAGGAAAGUCUAGCCAGGAGACGUGUCUCUUGGAUCGAACACAAAUCGUUUAGUAAAACCAUAUUUAUUACUCCGUUUUUUUUUUUUUUUUUGACACCACUCGCAGCAAUUACUUAUUAUGAUUGCUUUCUUCAAUCUAGACUAGGCUUUUUAAUAACUGCAUACCUAACUUUAAAGAUGGGAUUGCUUCGUGCGCAGAGACUUUCAAUGCUGAAAAGUUAGAAUAAAUUAAAAUGUUUGUCGCGUUUCGUACGUAGAGUUUGAAAUCUAAUUAUCUCUCUAUUAUCUAUUAAAAGAUACUAAUUGGUGAGCUAUAUUCAUCUCUCACAAGGUUUUCUUGGACAUCAUUCAAAGCAAAUCCUUGCUAUCAUUGCAUUAUCAUUUAGACUAUACUUUUUAGUCCUACAUCUCUAGCUUGGAAAAUAGGAUAGCUCCAUAAUUAGUGUACAUAUGUAUGAUUGAGUUGUAUAAAUUUUGCAGUCUUAUCUACCUCGAAAGAUAGAAACAAUGCUGCCCACAAUCGAUAGGCAGACUUCCUAUGUUAACAAAAAUUACAAGAGUUAGGAUUUUUGUUUUAGUCAUAUGAAGUUUCAAUAAAAUAUUAUCACACUAAAUUAAUACCUUCAAAGAGCAGAGGCCCCCCAGUCUCUGACCUUUUUUUUUUUCUUGAAUUUUAAAAUGCUGUCGGCAUCCUCCAUAUAUGUACGGCACCUUAAACCAAGACGUUGACUUGCAUUGUUCUUAUAUAUCACUCGGUCAUAUAGACCAACUUUGGGUUACAAGGCAUUGGAUUUUUGCGCAGAAUUAGGAGAUUCUCCAAAAUUAUUGAGGUAAUAAUGCUCUUGGUCUAUCAUCACUAACUAUGUUGAAUAUAUCCCAUGCUGAUGUUUUACGUUCUUGCAUUUAUUAUUGUACGGAAAUGCUAUAUAGACCACACAGUACUAAAAUGGAUUAUAUAUAUAUAUAUAUAUAUAUAUAUAUAUAUAUAUAUAUAUAUAUAGAACUAUACUUGAUUGAAUCCUCUUACAUUAUGGAGAGGAGGAUCGAUUGUCAGCAAGGACAAAAUUGUGUUGCACACAGACCUACCCAACAACGAGAAACAUGAAAUGAUCAGACUUCUACGCCAGUCCAAUUAUAAUUGGAAAUAAUUAAGCACAUACUUGUACAAUGACACUUUAAGCCUUACAGUGGUGAACUUGAAGGAACUUCCAUUAAUGCUAUUGUAUAGUGAAGGACUGUCACUAAUUUCCACAUUAACGGUUCUGCGUGAUCGGAAUGGACGGCUCUUGCAUGUGGUAGGGCAGCUCUGGGUCGGUGUCUUUGACGGGCAAUUUUCAAGAUACUGUUGGAUGUAGGGGUAAUUUGGUGGUUACAAACUAAUUGCUCUCGACUGUAUAGAUUACUGCUGUGGGACCGAAUUUCCUUAGCAGGUAAAAAAAGGUGUAUUCAUCAUUUAAAGGGGAAGUUGGGCAUUGUGGUCCAAAAGUAUUUUUAAAAAAAUUUAAAAUUUUGAUUUUUUACUUUAAAUUAAUAUGUUUUUGAUGUUUUUAAAUUAUUUUGAUGUGUUGAUUUUAAAAAUAAUUUUUAAAAAAUAAAAUAAUAUUAUUGACAUGUUUUUCUGAGUGAAAAACAAUCAAAACCACAUUCCUAAACACGCACAAAAACGAGUAUGAAUAUUGACAAGGUCAUAAAUUUAUUAGUAGUUUUGAGUUAUUGUUUUGAGAUUGAAAUGACAGAUAUUUGACAAGUUUUCAUCAUGUUUAAAAAAUAAAAAUAUUUAUUUAAAAAAUAUUAUAUUUUAUGUUUUAUCUUAUCUUGUAUAUAAAAUACGUUCCUGUCUUUUCUAUAAUAUACAUACUAAAGAGAAAGAGAAGGGGAAGAAAUGAUCCACCAAGUCCGAUUAAACGGAGGCAAGAAACUUGAUGAAAUAUGCAUUUUAGUUUCAGGGAAGGAAAAUCCAUGUGGAUUCAAUUUUCAACGUCUGUUAACAAAGAAUGGCAAUGCCCACCCCCGCAUUUGGCGGGUAACGCCAGCUAUGGGGAAAAAAUGAAUAUUUCAUUCUACCUGCCCAUAACAAAGUACUAUUUGAUUUAUGUACGGAUAUCCUAAACCCUAGCUUCCAUAGGCUUCUUGUUCUUUUAUUAUUAUUGUCGUCGUCGUCGUUGUUUAUUUUAUCUACGGUGGUUACUAAGGAAAAAACGCUUUGCUUUUGCUCUAAAAGGACAGGAGGAGCUUACAAAUCCAUUCACCAGAUGCAGGUAAGUCUUCAAAUCAUGACAUGCUGCUACAUUGAUGCUAUUGAGAAAUGGAGAAUCCUUGCUACUAAGUCUUAGCUCCCUGCCAACUUCUGCAUAGACCCAUUGUGUGUCCUCCACCUUUUUUUGGAUCCAACUAGGCAAGCUUGCCAUAUUGAGGUCUCCUUUGUUUGGCACAUUGUUCUCCCCAUCAAGAACAAAUCCAGGUACUUUUGUUAUUACAUCAUCUGAAUUUACAAUACGCAGGACUUUCGUUCCUUGUUUUUCCAGGUGUUGUCUGAAACUCCUGUUACCAACACGUGGACCUCCGAAAGAAAUGACAGUCACAAGUGGCGCACAGUUGAAUGUAGUCUUGAUGUCAUAAGCAGCAAGAGUAGCAAGUGCAGCUCCAAGACUGUGUCCUGUAAUGGUUAAGCUAAGAGGUUCAUCACCAUAGGUAUGGAGUAGCCUUUUGAUCUCUCGACGCACCAUUUCUUGUAAACUAGGACCCAUUGGUGUUCCUGAAGUGUAAAGGCUCAAAAAUCCGCUUUCUACCAUGGGUCCACAAUCAUCCGAGCGUUUUUUUUCACAAUCUGAAUUUGGCAGUUGAGUCAGGGUUGCUCUAAGAUUCUCCAGCCAUUCAAGGCAAGUGGCAGUACCUCUAAAGGCAAUCACCACGUCUCUGCGUCCUAGCCUCGCAAUUUCUGCCUUGUUUAGAGAAACGGCUACGUAUCCAAUCCAACUGGACUGGGUAAACACCCAACUAGGUGCUUUUUCAGUCCAACGUGGGAUUUGGAUUCCCGAUGUUGCACGUAGAUGUUUGGUUAGUCGGUAACCAGUGUCCGGUUUACCGCACCGCUCAAACAAUGUGCUCUUUGGGAACCGGCAGGUUGCAUAGGUGGGUGAUGAAGGAUCGAAGUCAAAAGACUUGUAUGCAGCAUCGACAAAGUGUCCAUACCGAAGAAUUUCUCCACGUAAAUUAUCAUCAAGAGGGUCGAGCAAACCUUCCCAGUUUCGAAUACCUUGAUACUCCAUCCAUUUCCGUCUUAGUUUAACCGGCCGGGAUGCAGUCGCCGAUUCAUGGCGAACCGGGUCAAGCAAGCCUUCCCAAUUUUUUAGAGGUUGGUUUUGUAACUUUUUGCUGAUUUUUAUGGGUUGAGUGAGAGUGCAGCACUCCAAUGUCAUGUCUCUAGUGGGUGGGACUGUGCAUGGCUUUGCAAGUCCAACAGAAGACCUCAUGAUUUUGGUUUCUUUGUAUUAUAUGGAAGAGAGGAACUUGAUUUUUUUUCUUCUUUCAGAUGUGAAAAGGAGAGAAAGAGGCAAAGAAUGGAGAUGAAGGAAGUUCUCGAUGUUGGUGUUUGUUGCCUUCAAGGGGUUUUGGAGGGUCGUUUUUAUAGGGAGAAAGAGAAACAGGAGGCAUGGAAGAAAGAGAAAAUGUUGACAGAGAGGGGUUCUUGCGUUUAGUUUUUGAACUUCAAAAAAAAAAAAAAAAAACACGAACCAGAGGAGGGGAAUUUUUACAAAGACAGCUUUGGUCUACUUAACUUUUAUUUAUAGUAUUUGAGCUUAUUCUGGAGAACUAGGUUCUUUUAUAUACAUGAUAAAUACAUAAAGUUUGGGAUAUUAUUAUGUUAUUAUAUUCAGUUAAUUUAAAAUAUUGAAUUCAAAAUAAAUAUACCAUAUAUGAUUUCAAUAUAUAAUAAAAAUUGAAAUAUUUGCUAUUUUCUUCAUCUCAUCUAGUUGAACUUUAAAACAAUCACCGAGAGCAAUUAGAACACCAUGUAGAAUAUUAUUUAAGUUAUAAAAAAACCGUCUUGUUUUCUAUUUGUACGUGUUUUAAAAUGAUUGUCCUGCAAACCAUCAAACCAUAUGCUUCCAUACAAUACCUCUAAUUAAAGCCUAAUUGUAGUAAGCCUAUAAUUGUAAAUGGUGUCUUUUAGUUUUUAUUAGAGCAGAUACCAGCAAUUGGAAAUAGGAGAUUUUCGAAAAAUAUUUUUACCAAAUAUGGCAAUUGGCAACGAGUUAAAAGGAGAGAAGCCGUCCUAACUGGUAAGACUACGUUACGAUCCCAAGGAAGCGACGACCGACGUGAUGAUUACCAAAUAUGGGCUCGAAUCAAAUCCAAUGGUCCACCUUCAAUCGAGCUUGAAAGGAUUUACUGAGCCCAAAAGGUACCUUUCGACCCGGUUUAAGACUUAAAUCUCAACUUAAGCGAGUUGAUUUAUGAGUUAAUAAAUCAACUCAGAUUUUAAUAUAAUUUUUUUAAAUCUGUUUGGGGAAAAACCCAGGUUUUUCCAUUUGUUGACGGGGGCCAAUUCCCAUCAAUAAUUUUAUUAAGUUGACUUAGGAGGUAAUUUUAAUAUUAAGUUGACCUACCAGGCGAGCGAGUCUUACAUGCAUAGUAAUGAGAAAUCCAACUGUAAUAUUGUGGAUCAGUAGUGUGUAUGAUCGGCCUCUCUAUUUUUAGUUUUAUCUUAUGUUGACCCUCUGCUUGUAUUUCUUGUCUUAUCAUUCACCCAUUCUCUAUUUUGUACUGCCAAUCUGAUGAGUCUUCCAUCUGUUUUCUUUUGCUAUUUAAGGCAGUGUCAAAUCAAACCAUAAUUUACUCUUAACUAAAAAUAAAAAUAAAAUCCUUUUUUCUUUCAUAUCUUCACCCUUCUUUAAUUUAUUAUUUAGUGGUAUAAUCUUACUUCAAUUAUUGUUUGUUAUUAUUAAAUUCGAUAAUUAAAUUUGAAUUUUAUUUAAAAUAGUAGAAUGGAUGGUUAAUUCUCAAACAUUUUUUGUUUAUUUAUUUGAUGUGACAAUAGUUCUCUGAAAAAGAUUGUCUGCCGAUGGAAGAACUAUAAAAUUACCCAAAAGAAAAGGGAAAAAAAGAGGGUAGAGUUAGGACGACAAUAUGAAGAAAUGUAGUCACGGAAAAAAAAACAUAAUUGAAAAUAGGAUUAAAAUUACAAUUAAUCAAUGAUAUUGUAGCUUUAGUUAUUAGAUCCGACAGAUAAUUAACUCGAUGACCAAUCAAUAUAUAAUCUGUUCUAGACAAGUUGAGUGAAAAAACUCUUUUCUUAAAAAUAAAUAUCUUUUAAAAAAAAUGAAUAGGUUAACCACUCGGUAAGAUUCCAAGCAAGCUCUUAUAUGACUAUUAUCGAAGCUCACUUGAACUAGCCCCCGCUAGAUGGGCUCGGCUUUAGCCGUUUCAAAUGGAAGCAGCGUAUGCCAUGUGUUAUAACGUAGGGAAGGAGAUGAUGACGUGAUUGGUAUUAUUAGAUUGUGAUUAUUGCAUGAACACUUUACCAUGUGGUCACGACAGUUGUUUGGUGCAAACAAGGUAUCAUAACAGUUCUCUUCUUUAAAUCUGCUUUGUUAGUUUACGUUAAAAAAUCUCAAAUAUCAUUGCACGUCUCACAGUUUCACACGUUGAUUCCAUCUUUCAAAUCUUCAAGCCUCCUCGUGAACGUUUAAUUUUUUUCCCGAAUGGUUCAUGUUGAGAUCUAUCUGUAAAUUCUCUUCUACUUUGUUUUUCUUUUUUUCUUGGAAACCAUUAUUUAUUUAUGGAUUAUCUCCAAACAUGAUUGCAAGAAAUCGUUCGAUUUUAGUGCAAGAAAUCGUCCUCAGACAUACAUGCACACACACACAUGUUUUCAAUGGCUGUGUUGAAGAACACCUAAAGGUUGAGGAUUAAUUCAUGUGUUUUUAAAUCCAAUGGUUGAAAAAGAAAGUGUGUGUGUGUACCACAACAUGCAUAUUUUAGCCGAAUCAGGUAAUCGUUAUCUAUCUCUUCUUUCUUCAUUUUGGUUUCAUGUGUUUUCUUAUACAAAUCCUUAUUUUGUCGACAGCUUUUUUUUGUGUUUUUCUUGUCAAUGAAUUCUGAUAUAUGAAGAAAAUCCCUUCAGCAUUCAUAUGCAUUGAUGAUCAAAGAUAAAGAAAAAAAAGUACAGAUGCAUGUGUUGUAUUGUCAAUAUAGCCAGCUGAAAGUCCAUUCAUGUAAUCCUGCCUGAUUUGGUGGGUUUUUAGUUGCGUGCUAUGAAUUUGAGAUGCUGGUUUUGCUUUGUAUAUAGACUUUUGAAGAUGACUCAUCUUAUUAUUGGAUUCAGGCCAAACAUUUUGGAUUUGGUUGUGGCAAAACAAUUAGCAGAUAAUUACAAAUUAGAUCAGCUCUAAAUCUUCUAGCAUGUUCAAAGCUAUCGUUUUCGAAGAAAUGCAGCCUCCCCACAUGUAUUGAGUGAGCUUAUAGAAGUCCUGUAUCCAAAUAAAUAGAGUAAAUUAUGAACCAGUCCAUAUAGAUUAACACAAUCAAUUACUUAGACGUCAUGAUUUCAGCAAAAACAAAAGGAAAAAUAUAUAUCUGAUUUCUAUAUUUUAAAAUCUGGUUAUUGUUGACUGUGGAGAAUUACUCACAAAAUCAAGGGUUGAAGAAAGGGGUUAGCAAAGCGCUGAAAUGAGGAUUUGUGGUGAUUCGUUGGGAGGAAUCAUGAAUGGAAAUGGGAUGUGUGUUUUCUCAUUUUCAAUUAUAAAUAGGCACAAUUUGAAUGAGCAUGCAAGAGAAAAAAAGAGAUAGAAAAAGCUGUCUUGGCAGCAGCUUGUAGUGACAAACUGGGUGAAAGAGGUGGGGGUUGAGUUGAGUUGAGUUGAGUUGAGUUUCUUUCUCUUCCAUUAUUGUGUAGUUGUAGCUUUCUCUAUUCUGAAUAUUAUUGAUUGCUCUGUGAAUAUAGACACGUUACCAAACUAUAUUCAAAUAUUCUGCUCAGCCUCCUAGCAAAGAUCAAACUGAUCCUAACAAUCAUCACUCAAUUCCAUUUUCAAGUUUAUGAUAUUUUUAAUUUACUUCUUUUUACUUUUUGAGCAUUAGAGAAAGCAAAAGUGAAUUAGAAAGAAAAGUGAACUUUCAUCGGUGCUAGCAAAGAGAGUAUUUAAUUUAUUUUUGAUAGUUCUUAAUUAAUCUCAAUAAACUAUAAAGACUAAGCUAUAAUCUAUCCUUAUCUAUCUUUUAUUUUAUAUUGUAAAGCUAACACAUCGUCUCGAAACUUUUCCACAAUUAUAAAAAAUAGCACUUUAAAAAAUGAAAACGUUAUUGGAUUAUCAUGAAUUAUCAAGAAUUUAACUUAGUACUCCGACUAAAAGGUGCCACGUAGGCAUACUAAUUCAUGGCGUUGUGAUGGUAAGACUAUUAUAAAAUAAAAGAAAAGGUAGGGCUUGAUAAAUUUGAAAGAAAAAUAAAAGGUUAGAGGCUCCCAUAAAAAGAAAAAGAAAUACUAGAAGAAUAAAGAGGCCAAAUCUGAAUAAAACCCUUCCGUUUUAAAUAAUAAAUAAUAAAUAAAACUUUAUGGAUCAUACACCGAAAAUAAUAAUAAGGUAGUUCCUCACAACAUGGAGGGUCAAAAAGCCAGGGUUGUUUGUUUAUCAAAUUUAAAAUAAAUGCUGCUAUUAAUUUAGGCAUUGUGAUUUUAAAUUGGUGGUCUAAAUUGCAUGCAAUAAAUCAAUUUUUUAAAAAAUAAUUGAUAUUGUUAAAGUCCAUAUAUAAAAUUGUAAGUGAAUUAUUGAACAUAAUUGAUCUCUAGCAAUAAUUAAUUUCUUUAGUUGUGGAGAGUGUUAUGUAUGCUUUUUAUAUAUUUAUUUUUUGGAAUGACAUAUUCAUUCAUAUAUCUAAAAGUAUUGAUAUUUAAAGAUUAUACAGUUUUUUAUUAAUGACUUACAUCACUUUUUUUAGUAUAAAGUUAAUGCAAUGUAGAAGUGCCUUUACAGCACAUAUUCAAUUCCGUGUGGUUAAACUCUAGCACUAUAUAUGUAUAUUAGUGACUGAAUAUAAAUUUAAAUUUUAAAUCUCAUUUAAUAUUUAAUUUUUGUUUGAUUGAACUUAUUCUUUAGAGAACUGAAUAAUUAUGAAACGCUACAACUUUAUUAUUUUAUAAUUAAAAAAUCAACAUAAAUAGUUUUUAUUUAAGUAAAUAUAUAUUUUUUUUAUCAAAUUAAGAGAAUAUGUUAAUAAAUUAAUAUAAAUUGUUAUCAGAACACUUAAUAAUUUAUUUAUUUUGGAUUGAGUUGAUAUUUUGAUCAUACUUAAGAAGCACGGUUUACUAAUUUCUUUCUCUCAUCUUCUUCUUUAUUUUUUUUAUAUAAUAAAAACAUAGUUCAAUUAUAGCUUAUUUUGGCUUAAAACAAUGAUAAAAAUUUAAGAGUUCAAUUAAUAUUUAAUUUUUUAUUUGUUAGGUGAGGUUCGUUGACAUAGUAUCAAAAUCUUAUUGAUCAAGUCAUCAUGAAUUUCUCUUUCACCUUUAAAAAUUAAAAACAUUAAAAGAAGUAAGAUACGUACAAAAUAUCUUGAAGUUCCAAAGUAUUUACUAGAGAUGAAUAUUAUCAUUUUUAUUCUAUUUGAUAAAAAUUAAGUUAUAUAAAUUAAUGCAAGUUUCAAGUUUAAAAUAAUUUUAUUUAAAAAAGUGUAUUAAAAAAUUAUAAAAAUCAAAUCUUAUAACUUUACUAUAAUUUUUAGGUUGAUAUAUGUAUGUGGAUGAAUGAAUGUAUUUAUAUUAGGGUGUUGAUAAAGUAGACAAAGUCAUUAGCCAAACGAUUACCUUUUAUAGAUAAUUCUUGAUUUCACUCUCUAGAGAUAAUUCAAAUCUCAAUGAUAAAGAUACAUAUACUAUUCUUUUAUGAGAAGACCACUUUAUACGUCCAAUCAAUACGGAUUUUAAAGAAUGGACAAAUGAUACUUUUGGUAUGCAUCAACGUUAGAAAAGAGAAAAAAGGAAACCAUGUAAUUAAUAUUAUAUAUGUUAAAUCAAUGAUCUAUAAAAACCAAACACUUGGUCUCUCUCCUUUUCUCCCUGUCUGAUAUCAUGCAUGAUAGUAAUGCUGUUAUGAUGGGAUAUGGUUUGAAUAUCUUCAAGAACAGUGAUCUCUAUGCGUUAAAAUAAAAGAAGAAGAACAAAAAUAGUUAUGAAUGAUCGUUUUCUUUGCAGAAGGCCCACCAGCUCCUUCUGCUGGUUCCUUUAUGAAUGAAAUCAAUACCGUUAAGAAGACUAAAACGUUGUCGUAAGUAGCCAGGUCAUUUUACUCCACAGAAAAUGUUUCUGUUCUCAGGAGCAGAUCCAAAUGCCCAAGUGAUAUGCCCCCAGAAAUGACCAAUAUACUGGUAUUACUCGGAAAGGACAGUUUAGUUGAGAAGUAGGUGAGUUGAAAGCUAACACUGCCUGCCUGUGUGUUAUGUAACUGGCACAAGGGACAUCUUUAUUAUCUAAUUCUCAUAAUAAUAAUAAUAAUAAUAAUCAGAAUGAUUGAAUAGCACACACUUGUGUGGAGAUCAGAUAUGAGACGUUUAGAGCUAUUAGCCUAUGAAAUUCUCCUGUACAAAAGAUGGGCAAGUGAAAUUUCUUGUCCAUAAGUAAGACUUUAAAUAAGUGCAGGCAUGCACUACACUUAAUGCCUGUCCUAAAGCAAAGAAAAUCACUCCAAUUGUCGUACCAAAGUGUCUUUAAUUUUGGUGAGAAAUUAUUUGUUUUGGUGAGAAACAUCGCUUGUUUACUGUGAGAAAUGAGUUGUGUUGCGUUCCAAUUACAGUAAGAUUUCAUGUUUUUUAUUCAUGGGUGUCGGUGAAACUGAAUCGGGUGAAUAUAUUAUAUUGUUUGAUUAUUUUUUUUAUCUCAUAAUACAUACAGUGUAAAAAAAAAAUUAAUUGGAAAUAUAAUGAAAUAAUAUUUUAAUAAAAUGGACCCACAUCCAUCGAACUUGCUUGGAUCUUCUGCACGUGUGUGUAUAAGAGCACGUUUGCAAGUGCUUCUGAUAUGCUGCUUGGUCGUUAUGUUUUAUUUCUUUUCACGUUUUGGUCCUAACAAGUGGGCAUAAUGCAUAAAGGCCUGUUUUUUCUUCACCUAUCUACGAUUACAGUAGUACUACUAUGUAAAAGCGAGAUAUAUCACGAGGCACAGGCGCCGCUAUGCCGCAAAAAUCAAAGCUGACUCGACUCGCAAGCCGUCAUCGGUUAAACUAACCAGGCCUUUCACAUGUGACGUGGCAAAUCUUUCAUGCAACUUAUUUGCGUAUCGACGGCAGUUUUUUUAUAGCAGGGUUAUUAAAGUGGGUCUUGCCCGACACGGUUGACUCAGUAACUCUUUAACUUAGUUCAAAUUAAAUUAAAUAAUAUUUAAUUCGGUAUGACUUAACAAGCAACUCUUAAUAUGAUUAAAAUCUAUUUUGAUUUUUUUAUAAUGAUAUUUUAUUUUUUAAACGAGUUUUAGAUUGAAAUUUAAUAAAUCUAGAUUAUACAUAUAAGAAUAUUAAUAAAAAGAUUCACUAUUUAAAAAAAACAAAUAUAUCCCUCCUUGUAGGUAGACUGAGACGGAGUUCAAUGUAGAAACUAGCAAAGUGUUCGUGGGUUGUCCUAACAGUAUCGCUAAGCUUAAGCAGUGCUCUUAACUGUGUUUUUUAUUUUUUAAAAAUUAAUUUUAAUAUCAGCAUAUUAAUUUAAAAAUAUAAAAAAUAUACUAAUUUAAAAUAUAAAUAUAAAUUUAAAAUUUUUAAAAAAUACUUUUCAGGACUGCCAAACACUCACGAAAACAACGGUUAAAGUUGCGGUAGAAAGUGACAGAUGAGAAAGAGCAACUAUCUCCGUUCAGAAAUAAAUUCCUGGAGCUGUCUAUUCCCCCGGUUCCUACUAAUCUUUGGAAAUCAUUACAAGACAGGAGAUGAUUUCAUUUGGUUUCCUUCGAUUUUCUUGACUUUCACCUCCGUUUUCUUUUCUUUUUCAAGUCAUUGGCAAGUACAUAACGAAGGUCAUGAGCUGAUUAGAUCCAAUUUAAAUAGUUUUUAUUUUGCUCAAAAGGUAGAGAGACUUUGAUUUCUAGCCUUCCAAUAUAUAGACCAAGAAAACCGAGAAAGGAACUGUGCCAAGGAGCACCCUUUUCACCUGGCCUCAUCGAGACUCACUGAUCAUUUCACGGCAAAUGAGGGUAAGAUAUAUUGAUUGGGCAGUGAAAUAUCUGCUGAUCUUUAAACAAAAAAGAGUGAAAUCGAGGGGACUUGAUAGAUUUUUGCAUAGAUAGCAAUUGGUGUAGUAAGAAGGUGGAAUGUUGUGGAUGCUCUCUACUUCUCCAGUGGGGUGGGGGACUUUUCUUUUUUAAAUUAAGCACACAAAUAACGAGCUAGUUUCCUGAUGUGGGAACACUUUCUUUAGUGUUUACUGAAUUAGAAAUGGGCUAUGGCUCCAGGUUGAUGUGAACAACGGAUUCUCAUGGGUUGGUGGCCGAGCAACUUUGCCCUCCUCUGUCUUGGGACCGCUCGAAUCCCCAGUUGGAUGCAGAAUAGGAGAGAUGGAGAAGGGAAAAAUCCCAUUAUUGGUCCAAUUCUCAUUUCUGAAGUGUGUUUUGCUUUUGCCUCAAGAAAAACAGUUUCCUAACCACCAUUUUCAUUGCAUAUGUUAGACCUCAUGCGACUACCAAGCUAAAACAAUUUGGUUAAUGGAAACAUAUUUCAAUUAAAAAAAAGUUUAGUUUUGAUUUUAAAAAAGUAUUUUUUUUUUAAUUUUGAACAAAAAAUAGUUUUAAAAGGUUGUGAAAAAAUAAAAAUAAAAUCAUAUUAUUUGUUGGUUAUAUCAAAUUUGAUUAUCGAUUUUUUGAUUGCUAUAUAUUUUAUUUUAAUUUUUUUUUUCAAUUUUAUCCAUUAGAAUUUGAUUUAAGUUGAUUUUUAUAUUAAUUUUAGUCUUGUUAUUUUUUUAAUUGAAAAUUUUUAUCUAUCAUAUUUGGUCCAUAUUUUUUUAAUUAUUAUUUAUUUUUAUUCGAAAUAAUUUAUGAAAUUUUAAUUUUUUUAAUUUAAUUUAAUUUAAUUAUUUUUUAACUUUUUUAUCUGUCAAAUUUUAUUUUUAUUAUUUUAAUUGUUUGUGGGGCUAAGAAGAUCCUGUGAGUUGUGAUUAACAAGUGCCCUUCUUCUCUUGGUUUUGACCUUCCAGCCUCUAAUUAGUCUAUUCUUGCUGCUAAUCUGAACAAUCCAAGUCUUCUGUAUUUUAUCCACACAGCUCACCGUCUGCCAAUCGGUAAACACAAUUGCAUGGGAAUGUAAUAUAGCUCAACUGUAACACAUCUUAGUGCUUGAUAAAAUAGUGUGUGGCGCAGGUUGAAAAGUACGGAUGAUUCUAGCAUGUUCACGGUUGCAAUGAGCCUAUUUUCUUCAUAAUUCUCUCCACAAUUUGGACAAUAAUUGAGAUCAUACUCAGUGUCGGAUCUGAGUUUCAUGGCCGUUAUAUCUCCUGGGGCAAAAUGCCUUCUCAUCAUGUCCCUGCAUUAUUUUUUGCAAGUUGGAUCAUUGUCAGUGAUCAUAACAAAAGGUGUAGAGCAGGAUCUGCCCAGAUCAUGGGGCAACAGCAAAGUUUAGGUACUGCACUAUAUGCUUUCCUUUUUAGAAGGUUGCCGAGAUUCGGUUGUGUUUUAACCUCCUUUACAGCAUUUCUGCAACUAGUGGGAGCCAUAAAUCACUACGAGUGUUUCAUUGUCCAACAGAAAAUGUGGUGUCAUUUUUGAAUCCCAGUGGCUAUGGGAAUCGUGCUUGGGAUUGAUUGAAAGAGAUGGUGGUGUUUUUGGAUUAUUAGAGCAAGAUAAUAAAUGAUGAUGAAAGUCAUCUUCUUCGAGGCGCAAUAAUAGAAGUUGAUUACCAGAACUUUUCAAUGUUCCCGAAAGGGUAGAGAGAGAAACUAAUGAAUGGUUUGAACUUGAAAAACCCGACUGCAAUUUCCUUUGGAUUGCAAGUGGAUGGAUCUUGAGAUUUAUAGUGAAGGAACUCUUGUGGUGCAAUGCAUCAUGAGUCCACGCUACUGACCCCACAUGUCCGAAUUUCCACCGAUUUAUUUUCCCCGUUAGUGUUUACGUAAUUAACAUGGGAUUUUCAACUAUCUUUGUCGACAUUCUUCAAAACCAGUACCCCGAAUUUCGAGUGAUAUAAAACGAAAUCCCAUGUUAAGCAAAAGCCGGCGUCAAAUUCAAAGUAAGCAUUCUUACCAGAAGAUUCAAAGUAAAGCCUGUAAAGUGCUCUUUUGAUCACUUUCACAAUCACCACGGGCCACAAGAUUGCCUUCUUUGUUUUCUCUUAUUCAUACUACUGUUAGCAUCCCACAAAUCCGUUGCAACUUUGAUUUCUCGGCUCUAGUUUGAUUAACGACAAAUUAUUCAUAUAAACACUAAGAAAUUUAUAAAAGUUUUAUUUCUCAGAGUCUUGUCUUAUCCUUCAAGAUUAAUUAACCAUAUAAGACCAACCCAUUUAACUUGAACAAAAUUCAUUUAUGAAAUUUCAAAUGUUUGCGUUAAUGAAAAUGAAAAUGAUGUGCAAUUUGUAUUUUAGCGAUUAUAUAGAAAAACUAAGGUAUGGAUUCAAUAUUUGAGCAAUUUAUAUUAGAUGUUAAAAAAAAGGAGCAAUUCAGCUUAAAUUCAAAACUUGAAAACUAAUUAUUCUAAAAAAAAAAAAAAUAGAGGCGGUGAUGUAAUAAUAUGGACUGUCUUGUACAAGUACUUGGUCAAAAAAAUUUUAAAUUGUUCUUACAAAUUCAUGUACUAGUUGAUAAAAGCGUUGUGUCAACGCAUAUUGUGAAUAAUUAAUGUGAAUGAAAGUAAUAAAACCAAAUAUGCCGCAUGACCUGGUAUACAGUCAAAUCAUGAGUUAUACUGAGUUGAAUUGUAUCAUUUUCAAGAUUAUUUAAGAAAAGCAUUUAUUCCAAUUUAAAUUCAAAAUCAACUAGAUCUCGAAUUGACCUAUCAAAUCAAGUUGAACGUGACAAUUUGUCAAAAAAAAACAUUUCAUGGAUUUUAUAUUAGACUUUUUUUCUCUUGAUUUUUUUAACCAUAAACAUUAAAAGGAAAAUACAUUUCAAUAUCAAAUACAUUGAUACAUUACUUUUAAACAUUAAAUAUAAUAAAACAUAUCAUUUUUAUCUUUGUCUUUGUGUAUUCUAUUCCAAUAUAAUAACUAAACGAAAGUAUGUUAUUGCCUCUGUACACUUAAAUUAGUAUAUCAAAUUGUGCUAUAAGUUCAAACUACGACCUCAAACAUAAUAUAUGUCAUCAAAUUCAAUUGCAACAUGCUAAUUACUAGUCAUAAACUAGAUUUUGAUACAGAAAGAAUGAUUUUGCUCAUAAGAAUGGUUUCUUAUACUUUACUUUUUAAGGUUUUGAUAUAUACAAGAACUACUCACAGAUUAUGAAAUUUCAUGAUUUUACAAUUUUAUAAUCUGAUUGUUUGAACCAUCGAGUAUUCUAAUUAGAACCCUCAUUUCAACACCCUUGCUUGCAAAAGGAAAAGGAGAAUCUUGCGCUUCUGGGAAAUGCAUAGAUUUGUCACCAAAAAGCAGGCCGCAGGCCGUCGUGUAACAAUGUUGCAUCAGACGUGUAUUGUCUUGGCGUGGCAUCCCCUGGGCUUGCUAUAGACUUGAUCCAAUAUCAUUCCCUCUGCCCGUUGGGCUUCAUGUUUAAGAAUGGAUUUAAAAUGUUUUUUUAAAUAUUUUUUAUUUAAAAAUAUAUUAAAUAUUUUUUACUUUUUAAAUAUUAUUUUUAAUAUCCGUAUAUUAUCUAAAAAUACUAAAAAAAUAUUAAUUUAAAGUGAAAAAAAUAAAAAAAAAAUCAAUACCUUAAUCUUUAAUUUAAUGCACAUCAAACUGGGCAAAAUAUAACUCCUAACUGUUUAAAACAAUAAGAUUAAAGUGCAAAUGCUCUUAACAUUUCUGAACUAACCAAGUUUGCAUUAUUAUGGUUGAGGAAUAAUAGCACUUAAAUUGACAACAAAAAAGAAAAGAAAAGGAAUAUUAUCUAAGAAAAUAACCAAGUUCAAAAAAAUAAAUCGGUUUACAGAUAGCACCAUGGAAGAAAGGAAUACACAUAAUAGCUGAUUUUCACCAACAUAACAAAUCACACUGCACCUCGCAAGCUUGCAUCUCUCUCGCUUGCUCGCAUGAAUAUUCAAUUCCCUAGAUAUUUUAGCAUAAACCAAUUUCAAAAAAGAAGCCACAAUUUCUGUACCUUCUAAUUAGUCUGCAGUACCAUUCUCUCUUCUGACCCACUGCCUGACUGAUCUUCUUGAAUUUUGUACUCCCUGCUCCCUCUUGCCUGAGUUCCUGGGCUUUCUGGCACGAGGUCUAUUUAAUGAACCAUCGAAUUUUGUUUCCCUUGAUGCUCAGUGGUUUCUUAGUUUACUGUCUGAGCAGGUGAUGUCAACUGGACAGUUACCCAUUUUUCCUUCCAAUACUCCAUGCACAUCUCAUAACCCCAGUUUGUUUUAAGAAAAAUUAAUAGCAUGGUAGUUAAAUAAACAAUGUCUUCUUGAUUAAAAAAAUGUUAAUAACCAGGCAGCAUAUGUUCUAUAAAAGACUUUGAUUUCUCGUAAGGUGCUGGCGGAGUCCUAGAAGCAACAUCCGUAAGGUGCUGGCGGAGUCCUAGAAGCAACAUCCACAAAUUCCUGGUCGGCAUCGUUUAUGGUUGAGACGAGGACGGUAUUUGAUCGUCUUCGAACCCCAACUUUCAUUCUUAAUUAAUAAAAACAUCCUUGCAAAUGCUUUCGCAGUUGUUCAUCUUUCAUAAAUCCAAGAAUUUCAUCUCUGACUAUGAAAUACGAAUGCCCCCGACUGUCCCUAUUAAUCAUUACUCCGAUCCCAAAGACCAACACAAUAGGUUCGAAAUCCUAUGAUGUUAUCCCAUGCUAAUGUAUCCAGAGCAUAGGUUUGCUUUGAGCACUCUAAUUUCUUCAAAGUAACAGCAUCGGAGGCCCGGCCCGGCCAGUUAAGAUCAGGAGCGCAUCGCCGGUAGAAGGACAAGGCGACCCAAUUAUAAGACAUACCAUUCUGAUUUCCCAUGUCUCAUGUCUCUGACAAUGCAUUCACUGCCAUAGUUCGAAGAAAAAGGAAAAAGGAUGACAGGGAAGAUAUUUAAAGACCAAAAUCAAAACUAAAACCUAGUAAUAGUAUCAUCUAGAAGAAAUAAAUCAGAACUCUACCUGUGAAAGCAACGGAAACAAGACAUCAACUUCAUAAAUGGCAAGGCUUCAUGCUGUUCAUCAUCUGGGACUAAAGGGUACAAACACAGAGGACAAUCACCAUCUGGGUGAUUCAUAACAGAGAGCUUCUCCACCACUUCCUAAAAAUGUAGAAUCAAUGAAUCUUUGCAACUUCUAUAUAUCAGUCAAAGAAAAACUGCAAAUAUACGCAAAUUCACUGCUGAAGCUAUGUGUAUUUUAGAUUGGGCAAUUUGUAGGCAUUCCCGUCAAGGUGCUGGAAAUCUAGUAAAUAGACAUUCACUGUUAUUUUUGGUGCAGCGUCCAAGUAAAACACAAUACUUGGUAAAAUAGCAUGCCAUGAAUGUGUUUUCACCCUGGUUACUGUGCAUAUAGAUUCUGCCAAAAACUAUUAUUAAAUUACAAUCCAGGAUCUUUUAUUACCUUGAUGAUUCUACACCAACAACCUAUUUUAGCACUGCAGGCAAUUCAAACUUGUGCUCAUAUCUUGAAAAUAGCAGGGAUUGUGAUAUCAAAUCCUCAACUGAAAUGUUAAACAGAAAGAAUAAGAAGCAUCAGAGCACAAUCUUAAUGCUAAUUGGCACAAGCCAAAUAUUACAGCGCAUGCAUUUACUUUGCAGAACAGCCAAUUACUUAAAGACUACCGACAGAUAUAUGACAAAUGGAAAAAAAAAUCAAAUUAAGAUGAGGAUUUUCUACUGUUUAUCAAAUACGAGGCAAGUAAUAUGGUUUUCUCAAUUCGUUAACACAAUAUAGAAUAACAAUAUCAAUGCAGAAAAAAUCCUUGUUAUGUGAAAAAUGCAGCAAUUACCUCGCAAAGUGCUACAAGCAUCAAACAGGAGGAAAGUUCACAUGCUUUGUGUUGUCCACUAGUUAUCAAUUGCUUUUGCCUUUCUCCAUCAAGACCCUUGGAUUCUAUGAGAUCAAUAUGCAGAGGUUUGCUUGGAUACUACCAUGGAAUGUGGACAAAAUAUAGUAUCGAAACAAAGGUAUUCAAGAUUUCACAAACAAUCAACAGCACACAUGGAGCAUCCAACCCUAAUAAUUUUCACCACUUAGGCAGAAAAUACAUACAAAUUGACAUCUCCUUGAUGUUGUAAAAUACCUCAGGCCUUGCUUUUAUCCCAAUAACUGCUUCCACAAACAGAGAGAAAAACACAAUGAAGUCCUAUAGAACAGUUAUUUAUGCCUCUUCUCUGUGUCAAAAGAAAUAGUACAAAAACAGUCAUCAAUCUCCAUAAAAAAGUUACAACCGCUGGUAAAAAGAAAAAAAAAAACCGACGCAUACCCUUAAAUGCAAUGAGAGACGGAAAAGGAUGAAUCUUUUUCUAAUAGUAUAAUUCACACUGCUACAGCUGGAUGCGAAAUCAAGAACCCUUAAGCUGAUUUUUAGCUAUGAGAAUUGAUAUGCAAUAAAACUAGUGCAAUUUUCCCUUCCAAUUCAUAGUGCCAAUACCUCUCUUAUAUCCUUACACAAAAAUAUUCUACGAAAAUACAAUAAACAAAUUAGAAUCAUUAUUCUAAAUAAAUGGGUUUGCUCAAAGGAAUCAGCACUAUCAACUUUUAACACACCUUGAUAAGAAUCGUUUUUAUUUCCCAGACAAUUUUUUCUCGAUUUUUGUUCUUCAAAACCAAAAAAUAAGCAGACCCAAAAAGUAAAAGAAGGGGAAAGAGAGUGGUGGACCUGUUGAGAGGAGAUAUCAACGGUUCUGGGUUUGAUGUGGAGGUGAAGAUGAGGAGGGAAAUAAUCGAGAAUUGCACAAUCGUCGCCGUACACGACCAGCACCGCUUCUACUUCCAUUAAAAACUUCUUCUUCUGCCAUUCCUUUUUCUUCAACAGCUGCCUAUGCAGUCUGUCCCUUCAAUUUUUUAUUUUCCGGGGUAAAUUUUGAAUUUUUUUAUUUUGAAUUUAUUUUAAUGUAUUAAUAUUAAAAAUAAUUUUAAAAAAUAUUAUUUAAAUAUAUUUAAAAUAAAAAAUUAAAAAAAUUUAAACAAACAAUUUAUACAACAUUUUUAAAAAUCUAUUUAAUCUUCGACAACGAUUGAGAAAAUAGUUGUCGGUCAUGUUUUAUAUGCAAUUUAGUUUAAUUAAAUAUUAUUGAAUUUGUUUAACUAACUAAUUAUUAUAUUUAUAAGAAUUAUAUAUUCAAUAAAACCUUGAAUUAUCUAAAUUUUCUCAAUCAAUUUAGUUAACUGAUUUUUAAGAAUUUCUAAGAACACGAUAAUUUGGGUAAUUACCUGAAUUUCUUUAGGAACUCAUUUUAUAUAGAAUAAUAAUAACAAUAAUAACAUUACCAACAACAAAACACUAAAGAUAAUUUAAUAUUUAGACAUGGUCAUAAAAUAUUGCAAAUUAAAAUUAAAAGUGUUAUAUGUAUUUUUUUUAAUUUUAUUAUUCAAUAAUUUAAUAUUUGUUAAUCUUUUAAUUUUAUCAUUUAAUAUUAUAUUUUUUAAAAAAAAAAAAAAAAACAUACUAGCAAUGCUUAAAUGUUUUUUUCACGUUAAAAAAUUUAAUUCAAUACACAGCUAGUGAUCUGAACUAACAGGAAUAUAAAAAUUUAAGGGAGAGUUCUUAUCCAAUGCUAACACUGUAGAGAUUCCAAUGCAGACGAGAACAACGAAUGUUGAGGAUAUUGCCAGUACUGUCAAGUAGCAUUUGAGCAAAAACAUAUCUACUACUUAAAAAUAAAGAAAAUUUAAGCAUGCUUCUGUAUUUGGUUCCAUGUUCAUGCUGUUCAACUCGAUUCAAAUAUAUCCAAGUUCCAACGUAACGAUAUAAUAUGAUUUAUGUUUGCUUCCCCAGCUUGCUACCUUCUUCUUCUUCUUCUUCUUGUGCAAGUACUCACAUGCAGAUAUUUAGCACCUCAUUGAGAGCAGACACAUAUUAUAUUAUCUUGAUCCAUGAAUGUAUGAUCCAGCACCUGAUGUUCAGUUUUUGGGAGAGGUAGGGAAUAUUUGAGAGGUAAGAACAUGAAUUUUUCUCAAGUGAGAUGGUUACCAAGUUCUGAGUCUCGAUAAAUGAUUGUUUUGCACUGCGAAAUCACGAUUUCAAAUUCUCUUAUGGAAUUAUUUAAGCUAUACGGAUAAAUAAAAUAAAACUAUAUGGAUGGUGGGCCUUCAAAUGGUAGACUCGUAGUCAUUCUUUAUUAAAGUCUUUCGUCAACGUUUUUUUUUUUUUUGUCCUGUAACUUUGUGAUAUCUCCUUGCAGCCACAUAUCAUCUACCCCGGUACUGGUACUAGUUUUUGUGUGGACGAUCUGUUCAGUUUCAUCACUAACUCAAAUAUUCAGGUUGCUUUCUUCUUCUUUUUUAUGAAAAAAAAUCCAGGUUUCUGCUGGUGCCAAUGGUGAAUACUAAUUUUAACAAGCCAGAUCAAGUUUGGCCUUGAGAAUAUGCAAGUAAUUUUAACCGCUACAAAUUUGAUUUCUCUCCAAUUCUUUCGAUUCUAACUUUGAUUUGUCCUUCCCUUGAUUGAAAAUGCACACAGGUUAAGGCAAGAAAAAAGAGAGCAGCAGCAGAGAUGCUGGAGUUUAGCUAUAGCAGUUUAAAAUGCAUAAUCCAGGCGUGAUUCAAAGCUUGCAGCUUGAAGAUUUCAGCGGUGGAGUUGCAUAUAUGAUUGAUAGAUGACAAGCUGCAAGAAAGAGAUGAGGUCCGGACAACACUGGAGCAUGAUAAUUAAGGUACGUACAAGUCUAUACUGAAAGCUUGGCUCAUAAAGAACUACUUUGAUCUGAUGUUUAGCCGUUUCGUUCUUGCAAAAUCAAAUAAAAAGAGAGGAGACAAAACAAAGGUUUCCUCUAACUAUGUCCCUUCUCUUUCGUUAACUAGUCUGAGAUUUCUGUACUGAACUGCUCAGCAUUAACCUUCAAGGUUUUCAUGUGGCCAGAAUUGAACAAUAAAAUUUCAUUUCGAGACCAAACCCUCAUACGGGCCUUUUUAUUUGGGCUUUGGCCCGUUAUUUACCCAAAGAAAAGUCCAUGAAGUUUUUUUUCAUGGCUUCAAUCAUUGAAACCUUAGGCUAGUCGAUAUCGAACGAAGUCUCCGAGAUGUCUCUUAGACCUUGGGGUGUCGAUCUCGAACAAUGUCUCCAAGAUGUCUCCUCGCAGCCUUCAUCUUUUUAUUGACACUUUUAGUCUCCGUAUGAAAUUCACAUCUUCCCUACUUUCUCUGAAUAUUGGCUAGCCUUUCUUUCUUACGUCGUCCUCUGCUUCAUUUUCCAUUCUAGCAAGCUAUGGACGCCAAUAAGAAGGAGCUGGAUCCAUCUGACCAAGAGCUUGAAGGUACGUGUGUUUAUAUCUAUAGAUCAAUAUUGAUCUGCAGGUUUGAUUUUGAGCUAAACGAUUUUAACUGAUUUUAACUGCUUUCUUGAUUGCAAAUACUUCAGCUUCAUUUGACUCUUUUGCACCAAUUGUUCAUGAGAAAACACACUUAAAAACGCCACCAAUUCCCUUUGUUUUCGGCUUUCCAACCAAAGAGGAACCAUGGACAUUCCAUGUUCCAGGACUAGAGAGUAUAUAAAGGACUUUACCUUUUUUUUUUAAUCAUUUGAUCAACCUAUAUCUUAUUAUCUCCAGAUCUGUUGCAGUGGGAUUAAAGUAGGAUAGAUAGGUUUCAUGAUUGCUUUUUAAGAUGUCAACAUUUAAAAUUUAAGAUGAGCGAAGAUUGAAAUGAAUUUUUUUUGUUUAUAAUAUAGUUUUUUUUUUUUAUCUUAUUUCUAAACGCACAGUUGCGUGAAUACAAAUUUUCUAGCCGUGAGCUACAAGCCUUAUUUUAUUAUUGAAAAGGAAAUCAACAAGUUCAUUUUUUUAAAAAGCAAAACAACAAAAUUUCCUAUUAUAUAUUUAUUGACCAAUAAGUUCAUAUUUAAUAUUUUCUUUCCAAAAAAAUUUAUUUUUUCACAUACUUUCUUCAUUGGUACCCUCUAGCAUCUUACAUUAUCAAUGUUUCAUUCUCUCCUUCACAGCCAUAAAUUUAUUAAGAGUAAUUAUUGUACUCAAGCACAACUAUCCUUACUUUCUGCUGAAAAAAUAAUGCAUAUAUCAUCAUCUUUUAUUUUCCAUAGCAUGUCAAUUGUUAGGGUUCUCUUUUUAACUCAAUUUUCUUUCGAUCAGUGAGGCAAUAAAUUUGUUUCGAAAGAUUUUAGUGUUUUGUUUUCCAAAAAAAAGUUUUAAAUUUUUAGUUGACAUUUCAUGUUUUGACGGUUCAUUUAGAAAACGUUUAAAGAAUUGAAAUUUUUUGGAAUAAAAAUUCAAAAAUGAACUUAUUGAUGACACGUAUUAUUAAGGUAGGAGGUGCAGUGUCCUGAGAGAUUUCUAUACAGGAAGUAACCAGGAAAAAACGAAAAUCAUAUGCAGAGGGGGGAAAUAAAGGAAAGAUAAAAAAAAAAAAACAAAUGAAGGAUGGCUCCUUGAAUUCUUACUAUACACAUAUACAGCACCCGCUUGAAGCUCUCAUUGGCAUCCUUAUUCCUUAACGCAAGUUUUUAAAGGUUUUCUUCUUAGUUUAAACGCAGCUGAAGCUAAAACCUUUAUUGGAAACUCAAACUGCACGCAGGCAGAAUUAUCGCAGGGGAGAUCUCAUCCGUGAAUCAUCGAACACCCUGUCCAUCAGCUCCACCUAUAGAAGGAAGAUUAAGCAAGAGGGAGAUUGAUAAGAGAUACAACAUGAACAGGAAGGUAUAAUGACUGGCUAUUAUUUAUUAGAAAAUAAUAUAAAUUAUAUCAUCAAUCUUAUCUAAUAAGUUAAAUUAUUAAAUUGAGAUAAUUUUUUAUAUGAUAUCAGAGUUUUAAUAAUUAAAUGAUCACAAGUUUGAAUCUCACUAUCCUUAUUUAUUUGAUAAAAAUUAAACAUAAUAUAAUGUAGAUUUAUACAAGUUUUAAGUCUAAAUAAUUUUUACUUGAAGGGGUGUGUUAAAGAGUAAUAUAAAUUAUAUCUUGAAACUCAUCUAAUAACUUAAAUUAUUAGAUUAUUAGAUUGAGAUUAUUUUUUAAGACUCCCUUUCUAUUCCGUAAUUGGUGCUCUUUCUUUUGUUUCCUUCGUGACUAGUCUAUUUAUUGUGCAGAAAAACGAGGAUAUAAUUAUGAAAGCGGCCGAAAGCCUGGAAAAAAUUUAUGGUGAAUUGGAGCGUGAAAAUGACCGUUUAAAAUGGCAAGAAAAUCAGUUGGAGGUCAACGCAGAUGAGGAAUAUGGAAAUAUUGUUAGCUGGUUGGAGGACAAUAAUGCAGGACAAAAUACUGAUGUGCAGGGGGCAAGCGCGUAUGCCGAUUUUCCAAUUGCAAAUGCAGAUGUGCGUAUAAAUUUUUUUGGUUUAUAAUUAUAUAUAUAUAUAUAUAUAUAAGUAAUAUAUUCAUUUUUUUGAAAUAAAAAAAUAAAAAAAUUCUACCCACAGCAUCGCGGCGGGUCACAUAGUAGUGUUAAGCUAUGCUUUGUUUUCAUUGUUUUGCAGAUCAAUACUAUUUUGCAGUUCAAUACUAUUGGAGAAAUAUCAAUGGGUCAUGAUGGGCUUAAACGAGAAAUGAACCAAGCCCCGAUCACGAGCAGUAAGUUCAGUUCCACCUAGAAAAAAAGUGUAUCUAUUACAUUGUUUUGAUGGCAUGCAUUUCUAUAAUAACAAUAAACAAACAACCAUUUAAUGUCUGUUUUAAUACUUUAGAAAACUUUAAAAUAUAUAACUGGAGUCAAUACAUUAUAAGGUAUGUGUUUAAAGACUUCAAACUUAGGAGGAGGCGUUUAUUUUGUGGAAACGUAAAAUAUCUUAUAUUUUAUAUGAAAUAUAUAAUAUCAUAUUGAUAAAAGGUGAUUUUAAAUAAUGAUGGUAAUGAACUUCAACAUGGUGCUGCUGCUGCACCAAUCUCUCAAUCCUCUUUUACAGGUGCUAUUGCCAGCAUAGUUCCUAUGAACUCUUCUCUAGAUAUCAUGAAUAGAUCUGUCAUCAUUCCUCUUGCUAAUACACAACAAGUAAUCUCCUUACGACUCUUUAAUACCAACUUCUUGUAUUAAAAGAUGCAGAUGAAACCUUUUUUUUUAUGUCAGGUGUGUAUUCUUUUAUUGAUGGCGCGCACCUCGCCAUGUUCUCCCUCUCAUCUUAUAUCUAUUGCCACAUCCUUACCAUUAGUUAAUCCUUCAUAUUUAUCAUGGAAACAACAAGAUCACUUAAUCAUGAGUGUUUUUUUAUCCUCGCUUUUCACAGAAAUUCUGCAUCUAGUUGUGAAUUGUAAAACUUCUCAAGAAAUCUAGACAACACUGGAAACUACCCUUACUUUCCCUUCAAACUCACGGAUUAUGCAACUCCACAGUGCAUUCCAAGAUUUAUGACAACACGAUGACUCUGUCAGCACUUAUUUACAGAAGACUAAGGCCUAGUUAGAUGAACUUGCUGCCACUAGCAGACCAAUAUUCAUGGCCGAAUUUAAUUUGUAUGUGUUUCGGGGUUGCGCAGCGAUUUUAAGGAUUUGGUAACCAGCCUGUCCACUAAGGCUAAUCCCAUCUCUUCCAUAGACCUCUAUAGCCAUCUCCUCACCCAUGAGUUUCUCUAUAAGGCUUCACUCCAUCCUGCUGUAACAGCUCCUCUGUUACCAACUCCAUCACAGCAGCCAUCUGCAUUCUUUAGGCAGCGUCAGUUUGGUUCUAGUACUAAACGAAGGGGCUGGUUUCGUGGGGUUUGGAGAUAGAGUAAUCGUAGCUACAAUCGUGGGAAUCAUGGCUAUAGUUCAGACUCUAUCUUCAGCACUAAUAGUUAUGGUUCAGGUCCGAAAUUUGGACAACAGCAAAACCGUUGUACUAAUUAAGUCUUCAUUUCAUCCAUAAAGAUAUGCAUGAACGUACGUGUACAAUGUUCUUCAUCAUUGGCUUCCAAAGGCUCUACCCAGUGCUUCUUACGUACCUUUAUAUAUACAUGUUUGUCUUAGCAAUCUGACAUGCAUCUCCUAAUAAGGGUUUUGUUCUUCUAGAGUUCAAUGUUCAAGUAAACAUGUUCACUAGAAACUGAAUAGAAAUGUGUGUGUCUAUAUAUAUAGAUGCAGGUACUUUCUCUAGAGAGAGCGCAUCCAUGAAUGUUCAACUUGUAGGAAGUUCUGGCUUAACUGAUAAGCGAGAAAAGAAAAGGAUAGCUGACAAAAAAUGUCGUGAAAAAAAGAAGGUAUAUAUUCUCCUUUGUGUUAUUUCUGUAAAUAUUCUCCUUAUAUAUAAUUACUCUAUUUUCUUUUCUAAAUAUAUAUUUUUGUGCAGGGUAAGAUGAUUCAAGCCGAGAACACGAUUAAAGAGCUCCGAAUAAAAAUUAAGCUGCUGUUACAGAACGUCAUUAAAGGAAAAGCAACUCAGUUGCAAAAACGCCGCUCAACAUCGCAACAUCAGUGAAGCUGAUGACUUCAAAAAAUGAGAGAAUAAUUGCUCUGCUGGACAGGUUUUGAGUGGUCAUCUGGUAAGGAUGCCCUUCUACUUCCAUGCUACUCUUUUCUAUUUUUAUCUUCUAAUUUACUAGAUAAUGUUUUUAAAAUCCACAUCAUUGAAUUUAAUUUGAUAUUUAGAAUUGUGUUCAAUAUUGGAUAAUUAUUUAAAUAUAUGAUUGGUAUCAUUCUAUUUUUAUAUUGAUAGAAUAUUAUUUGGUAUUUAGAAAAACUUUUCAUCGAUAAUUACAAUAUUAAUGGAAUUGCCAACGAAAACAUGUCGUCAACAAGUUGCUUGUCGAGGAUUUAAGUUCCGUUAGUGUUUCUAUCGACAACUUCCCUACAUGUUGCUAAAGUUAGAAGUUGAGUCAACUAUUAUUUUUAAAAUGGUUUCAUAAUAAAAACAUGGUUCUUUGUACAAAUCAAUAUAAGUAUUUUUGAAGAUUUUUUUUUAAGUAGAUGUAUUAUCACAUUUUUAUAAUGAAACUUUUUAUUCUUACAUUUACACAUGAACAUUUAGUUUCACCAUCACUAAUAUUUUUUAAAUUAAAAAUAUAAAUUAAUAAAAAUCCUCAACUUUUUAUAAUUUUAUCUAUAAUCCUUCAAAAAAUCUCAAUACAUCUAAGAACAAUAAUAAUUCAUUAAUUAUAAAAUCUAUAUAGAAUAUAUUGAUAACAAUAUUUAUUAAUAAUAUAACUGUCAAUUCAAAAUUAAAUUUUUAUCAAAAAUAAAUUCAUAAUCCAAUAACUAAUUAUCAUUUCUAUAAAACCAAUUUUGCAUCAAAAUAUAAACUAAACAAUAAAACUAACAACAAAUAAUAACUCAACUAACUAUCCAUUAUUUAUUUAAUUUAAACUUAUUCAAUCUAAAUUUAUACCUUUUAAUUAUUAUCAAUUUUCUUAAAUUUUCUAAAUUUCUAACUCGACAAAAUGUAAGUGGCAUCGCAAUUGAAUAACCCAUCAUUUUUUCAAUAAUAACACACCUAAGUUAUAAAAUUAAACUUAAUUUUAUAAAAUAAAAAAUAAAAUUAGUUUUCUCUUAAAUCCCAAAAAAAUUCUAACAUAUAUACACCUUAUAUAUUCAUGCAAUAAAAUUCUAGGAAAAAGUUGUAAAACACUUAAAUAUAUAAAUAAAAAAUACUAUAAUUUUUUUAAUAAAUUAACCUAAAAAAAAAUGAAUUAAAAAAAAAGUAUAUUUAUUUACUUGGUGUCGCAAAGUCUUACAAUAAAUUAAAACAAGAGAUCAGGAAUGCUAACACUAUUGAUAAAUAUAAAGAAGAUAGAUGGUGGUUGGGGUACUGGCUGAAUUUUUUAGGAUGGUGGUCGUAUUUAUUAGAAAAUGAGGAGGGGCUGCUUUUAGAAAAGAAGAAGGAUAGAAAGAAGAAGUCGAGAGAGUUUUGGGUUUAAUUCAUUUAAAUUUGUUAAUGAAAUAUCCAUUGAAAAAUAUUGUCGUGUCAAAUUUCUAAUAGAAUUGCAAUUUUUAUUGUUUUUUUUUAUUAUUAUUUUCUCUACUAUGUUAGAAAUUCCAAUGGAAAUGUUUCGUUGUUACUUUCGUUGGAUAUUAAGAUUGAAUAUUUUUUUUUGAAUUUGAUAAUUUUAUGGUAGUUUGAGUAAUGAUUUUAAAAAAAAAAACUGUAACCAUUUCAACGGUUUAGAUUAUGCAAACAUUAUUGGUUUACACAAAACAACUCCAUAAUAUGAACACGCUAAAAUGAAAUUGUUUGUCGAAGCUGAAACUUAAUGCACUGUUAACAAACUAUUAGGACUAAUAUGCGGCAGAAUGCAUAUAUCCUUUGACAUGCAGUUGGAAACAUAAACGCUUGUGAAUCAAAAGCCUUUAUAUAUAUAAAAACUAUUAAUAAAUCAAUAGAGAAAGACCGAAAAGGCACAAGCCUAAAACGAAAGGAAACAAAAUCGUGAAUACGAUGAGAUAAAUUAAGAAGGUUAAAAGUAUUAAUAGUGAUUGUAACAUAGAAUGAUGUUGUAUAUUUUCUCAAAACAUCUGGAAAUCAAGCUUGUAAGGUUGCAACUAUGUUGUGUUAACCGCUUUGCUUCUCUCAUUAUCAUAAAUCACAACCAACCUAAUAAUUUAUUUUGCUUGUAAACAAUAUUUGGCAGCUGCAAAACUCUGGCCAUGGAAGCACACCUUUCAACACGGCUUGUUGUGCUUGACAGAUUUUUCAUAAAGAUGAGACAAAUUAAGAUGGUUAGAAGUAUUAAUAGUGAUCGUCUUUUCCACACUGGUUAUAGCAUGGAAUGUAGGGAUCUUUUUUUUUUUGUUGUGCAUUCUCUCAUAAUUAACAUCUGGAAAUCCAUCACCUAAGGUUGCAACUGAGCUGCAUUUAACCCUUUUACUUCUCCCAUUACUUCUCCCAUCAACCUAAUAACGGUUGGAACACUAUCACUCGAUAACAGAGGAAGGAUUUAAUUAACAGUCAUAAUUGAUUCUGCCAACAUAUUUUGCUGAAAUACAAAACACUAAUUAAUAGUAAUCUCACACCUUUCUUUAUCAGAAUCCAUACAAUAAAUAUAAACAUUGUACAAUGUCGUUUACAAACUUCAAAGUUCUUAAUUACCAUUUAACUCAUUAACACUAACACAAACUUCAUAGUAUUUCUAACUUUCAUGUUUAUUUUUUAAUUAUUUACUUUAAUAUACUUAUUAAUUCUAGUAAACAAGUUUAAUAACUAACAAUAAUUUCUUUUGCUAAUAAAAAACUUUCAGCUGCAAAACACCGGUCAGGGAAGCACAUCUUUCAACCCACAGGUGCAACUCUUCACUAUUGUUCUCUUUCUAUAACAUGGCUUGCAACUCAUUUUUCUUUUCUCUUUAUAUAUAAAUCAUUAUCUGUAACUAUGUACAAAAAUUUUAUAGUUGCAGCUCCUACUUAAAUUGAUUGGAUUUGGCACUAGAGAGACAAUGCUACAUGUUCAUCAACCACCAGUUUAUCAGUCUGGAACAACAAUGGGGUCAGGAGGCCCGACCAUUGAAGAGUCAUUGGGGUUGCCUCAAUCACAUCUCCUUCAAGGAUGGGAACAUGUAUGCCUCCAUUUUUCUUUAUAAUUACUUGCUUCCCAUUUUUAUUUUUCACCUAUUAUCAUAAAAUCACAACCAACCUGAUAAUUUCUUUUGCCUAUAAAAAAAAACGGCACCUGCAACACUCUGGUCAGGGAAGCACAUCUUUCAACCCACAGGUGCAACUCUUCACUAUUGUUCUCUUUCUAUAACAUGGCUUGCAACUCAUUUUUCUUUUCUCUUUAUAUAUAAAUCACUAUCUAUAACUAUGUACAAAAAUUUUGUAGUUACAGCUCACAUUUGAAAUGACUGAAUUUGGCACUGGACCGACGGGGCUACCUAUUCAUCAGCCACCAGUUUAUCAAUCUGGAACAACAAUGGGGUCAAGAGGCCCGACCAUUGAAGAGUCAUUGGGGUUGCCUCAAUCACAUCUCCUUCAAGGAUGGGAACAUGUAUGUCUCCAUUUUUCUUUAUAAUUACUUGCUUCCCAUUUCUAUUUUUCACCUAUUAUCAUAAAAUCACAACCAACCUGAUAAUUUCUUUUGCCUAUAAAAAAAACGGCACCUGCAACACUCUUGUCAGGGAAGCACAUCUUUCAACCCACAGGUGCAACUCUUCACUAUUGUUCUCUUUCUAUAAUAUGGCUUGCAACUCAUUUUUCUUUUCUCUUUAUAUAUAAAUUACUAUCUAUAACUAUGUACAAAAAUUUUGUAGUUGCAGCUCCCAUUUGAAAUGACUGAAUUUGGCAUUGGACCGACGGGGCUACCUAUUCAUCAGCCACCAGUUUAUCAGUCUGGAACAACAAUGGGGUCAAGAGGCCCGGCCAUCGAAGAGUCAUUGGGGCUGCCUCAAUCACAUCUCCUUCAAGGACGGACACAUGUAUGUCUCCAUUUUUCUUUAUAAUUACUUGCUUCCCAUUUCUAUUUUUCAUGAAGAAAGAAUUACUGAAUUGUCCUGACUAAUGAAUUGCUUCUUGUAAAACUGUCCAACCAUAUGUUUUUAUAGAAUACUGACUUCUUUUUUCUUUUUUUAAUCUUGGAAAAAAAAACAUUUAUGUGAUAGGAAUGUAAGAUCAAUAUGCACAAGAUUCCUAUAAAAAUAAUAAAGAGAGCCAACUUUUUUUAUUUUCGAUCAAGGGCAUAAAUAUAUUUCUACACACAUUUUGAUCCUUUGCUAAUAAUGUAAAAACACUUUUAACAUAACAUUAACUCAUUUUCCUUUUCUCUUUAUAUAUAAAUCACUAUUUGUAAUCAUGUAUAAAAAUUUUGUAGUCGCAGCUACCAUCCGGAAUGACUCCGAACAACACAUUUAGCACUGGAGAGGCAGGCCUACCUGCUCACCACCCACCGGAUUAUCAAUAUAGAACAACAAUGGGGUCUGGAGGCCCGACCAUUGAAAAUCCAAUGGGGUUGCCUCAAUCACAUGUCUCUCAAGGAUGGGCACAUGUAUGUUUUCAUUUUUUUGUAUAAUUACUUGCAUCCCAUUUCUAUUUUACAUGAAGAAAUAAUCAUAAAAUAUAGUCAUGAUACUUGCUUAUUUCUUUAACCUUUCUUAAACUUAAAAGCUGAAUUUUAAAUAGAGCUGAAUCUUUAGUAUAUGUGAAUUUUACACAUGUAGGGGAACCAGGGCCAGGAGCUUGAUGAAGAAACUCAGGAAUUGGAGACAAAACGCAGCUGAAUGGUGAGGAGAGGGACUGGAAGAUUGUUUUCAGGCGUUACUUUUUCUUUCUAGUUUUUCUCGAAGAUUUUGGGAGAUACUAUCAUGGCUUCUCUUGUUUGUUUUAGUUUCGUUAUUUUGAGUUUGGAAGUACUCUGAUGCUAAUUAGUUAUGUUGUGUGGUUAAAAUGAAGUUUUUGGAAUUAAAAUUAAUUAUCUCGCGUAUCAUUAGUAUGAAGGAAUAUAUUACUUGUCGCACGUCGGAAAAUUCAAGUGACAUCGGGCUUUUUUCAUUUUCUUGUUUUACUCGAUUUAAUUCGUUAAAGUCGCCUACUAGAAAACAAAACCCGGGUAUACUAGUCUCAUCAAAAAUUUACUGGUAAAAAACUAGUUGUGAUUAAAAAAAAUAUUAUGCUGCUUGGUGGACUUAAUAUGAUUUUAAAAAUAAAAUUUUAGCCUAAUUUUAAAGCUUUAUAAAUCAUUUAUUAGUUCCCAAAAUAUAUGUAGAUACAUGUUCUACAUUUUCAUGAAAAAUAUAAUUUUUAUUUAUCCUUAAGAUAUUUGUGCAUAUAAACUAAAACAUUAAAUUCAUUUUUUGUUCUCCUUUUGGUUCAAUAACAUACAUAAAAAAAUACAAGCACACACAAACAUCUCUUUUUCUAAUAUUAUUUGUUUUUUCUUUUGUUUUCUUUUACAUCCACACUUCAAAAUACAAACUCAAAACAAAUAAACAAAAAAUUACAUUAAAAUUACAAUAACAGCCCCAAAAAAUCUGGAAUUCACAGGGGACACCUUCUGCAUGCCGGAACAGUGCCUGCGCGUCCGGUUCACGCGCCGCCGCUGCAGACAGACCCGAACACCGGAUCUGGCUCUACUCCGUCUCCUCUUCCCUUCCACGCCUGCUGUGAGGAGUAACGUCACCUGCAAAGAAGAAAAACAACGCAAGCAAAGUUUCGGUUCUUCCCCCCCUUUUUCAAAUCUGUUUUAUCUCUGCAUUCUCUCUGUCUCUGUCUUUCUUCUUUUGGUUUCUCCUGCUCUGUUUUAGGUAGCUGCCGGCGACUGGGAAGCUGCUGUCGACUGUGCUUCGGUCGUGUCUGGCCGCCGGAGCUGGAGGAGAAAGGAGUGUUGGCUAAUCGUCGGUUUCGGUUUGAAAUGGCGCUGGAUCUGGGGGCGCCGUUGCUGGAGAAAAGGGCUGCUGCUGACCGGUUGAAGGAGAUGAUGAAAGUAUUGCCCCGGCGCUGCUGUUCGGCCGCCGCUGGGGUGGAAACCGAAGGGAAAGCAGCCGUUGCUGGAGAGGGAAAGAGAAGGCGACCUCGAGAGAGAGAGACGGCUGUGGGAAAAAUCAAAGGGGGAGCCGUGGUUGGACUUGGGGAACGGCUGAGAGGAGAGGUCUCGUGAGGUGAGGGGAAGAUCGCCUGUGGAGAGGAUGAAGGAAAAAAAGCAGAGGGGUUCUCUGGGGAGGGGGGGCUGUCGGUCGUUUGAGGGAGAAGAGAAAAAAAUCAAAAGGGGAGGUGUGGGGGAGCUGGCGGCUGUGGUUGGAGAAGAAGGAAAAAAUUCCGAUCCAAGGGGUGGCGGCUCCCGGUUAGGGAGAAGAAAGAGUUCAGUUUUUUAGGGUUCUCUUUUGUGUUUUCUCCCCUCUUAAAGUUCAAAAUUGCCCCUCUCCCCUGCAAGUGUUGGAGACCACUAUUUAUUAGAAAAAAAUUACUAGAUUUUUUUAACUUGGUCUCUCAAUUUUCAUUUUUUGUAAAUUUUAUUUUUUUAAUUUUUUGUAUUUAUGAAAACGAGUAAUAUCAACGUCGGUUCAAAGAAAAAAAUCAAUGAUUUUAAAAAAAACACGUGAAAAGUCGAACACGUUUCAAAAACCUUUGAAAAUUUAAAUUUUUUUUUAGAUGACGUUGAAAAUACUAAAAACAAUGUAAAUAUAUUAAAAAUAUAUUUUUUGGAUUUGUGUUAUUUUUUGUUAUUUUUUUAUUUUUCAAAAAUUUUAUAAAAACGAUAGGUCAAAAAUUUGGUAACAACAUGACUGAUGAAAUUACACGAAACCUUUUAGUUAUUUAUUGAUUUGCUCAUCUUUUUUAUUGCUUCAAAAAUUAAAUCUACAAUUAGAAUUGAAAAAAAAAUCUCUUUAACCAUUAAAUCUACUUCUUAAAGUUUAUAAAACUCUUAAUCAAUUACCAAUUAUAUGGUAACUGGUAAUUGAUGUCUUUCUUCUUCUGCAAUUCUCCUCCUCUGUUGCUUGGUGGCGAUUGAGGACACGUGAGAGCAGACAUCACACAGGAUGUCUGACAAACACUGGGCUUUGAGCCCGAUAACAUGGUUGGGGUUACAUACCUCAAAAGCACGGGAAAACUAUCAAAGCUAAUUGCCCGCCGCCCGCGCAGAAUGCCAAUCAAAACGAAGCCUUCAGAAUAUGCAAGAUUACACGUGGCAUGUCUUUAUCCCUUGUAGUUAUUACAUUUGGUCUAGAGUAUGGUCGGUGCAAGGCUGGGUCGUGGGUUUGCAGAUUUAUCUAAAAAUUAUAUUGUUUUGAAUUUAUAAAAUUAAAAUGAUAUUUAUUUUUUAAAAAAUUAAAAAAAAUAAAAUGUUAUUUGUUUGAAUAAAAAUUAAAAAUAAAAUUCUUAGAAGAGCCAAAUCUCAUCCAAAUUUAUUCAAAUCAAUUAGAUCAUAAAUUAACUUAUUAGGUUAUUCGAAUUUACCCAAUCAAUUUUCAAAACAGUUUAAAAAAAAAUUCAACUUCGGUCAAGCUCAUAACUUGAUCAAACAUAUUUUAAUUAACUAUAAAUUAAAAGAUAAGGGGUUUUAGUGUAGCCCUCCUCACAUAGCACUCUUCGUUUGAAUAGUGUUUUGCUUAUUCUUUUUUCCCUUUUUUUCUUUGAAUUUUUUCAAUUAAUACUUUUUUUAUUUUAUCUUUUAACAUUAGAUUUGUUUUUUAUAGAAUUAUUAUACUCUCAUGACAUAGAUUAUGGGUUUGACGAGUUAACUUAAUUUGGCAUAUUAACUCGAUUGACUCAAGCUUUUUUUUUUCUUUUUCUUAAUUAACCUUUUUUUUUUAAUUUCAUCAUGUAUAUUAAGUUAAUUGGAGAUUAGAUUUCAUGAUUGACUGUUAUACUUUUUAUUAUGUUAUUCCAGCCUCAUGAUCUGGAAAUAGUGCUUGAUAAGUUAAUUCGGGUAGACUUAAGUUAUUUUUUGUCAUUUUUUUAAAAUGUUUUUUUUAAUUUCAUCAUUCAACACUAAGCCGGUUAGAAAUCGAGCUUCAUAAUUUUAUUUUAUUUUGCUUUUUAUAAGGAUAUAUUGAUCUCAUGAUCAAGGUCGUAGGUUUUGAUAUUUUAACUCCAGUUAAAUUAGGUUAUUUUUUGUGUUUUUUUCUAAGAGGCUAUCUCAGUUUUAUAACUUGGGUCACGGGUUCUUCAAUGUUGGAUUUUAUUUUUUUAGGCUAUUUCUAUCUAAUGACCUGAGUUGUGGGUUUGACAAGUUAACCUAGUUGACCCAUUUAUUUUACUUUUGUUCAAUCUAAUAAUUUAAUAUUGUGUUUGAUUGAAAAUUAAGUUUUAUGAUUUGUUACGGUUUAUUUUUUAUUAAGUUAAAUCGGUCUCAUGACCCAAUAAUAGUGUUUCGGAGGUUAACACAGGUUGACUUUAUAUAUUUUUAUGUCAUUUAUUUAAUUAGAGUUUUUAUAAAAGUUAUCGUUCAAUAUUAGAUCAGAUAAGGGCAAUUGAAAAUUGAGCUUCGUAAUUUACCUUGAUUUGCUCUGUAUGGGGCUAUCUCAAUCUCAUAAUCAAAGUUGUAGAUUUAGCAGGUUAACUCGGGUUAAAUUUGGUCAUUUUUUUAUGAAGUUAUCUCAAUUUGAUGACUUAGGUCAUGGGUUUGACAUAUUGACUCAAGUUAUUUUUUGUGUUAUUUUUUUAAUCAUAUCUUUCAAUAUCUAAUUUAUUAUAUUUAUAAUUUAUUUAUAUUUUCUUUCUAUGAGGUUAUCUCGGUUUUAUGACAUGUGUCGCGGGUUAAUUCAUGUCAUUUUUUUAGAUCUUUUUUAAUUGAUUUUUUUUCAAUUUUAUCCUUUAAUAUUGUGUUGAUUGGAAAUUAAAUUUCAUACUUUAUUUUUUAUAAGUUUAUUAUAGUCCUAUGACCUCAGUUGACUCAAUACAAUCUAAUAUAUUGUUAUCUUAAUAUUGAAAAAUAUAUCAUUUUAAAAAAAAUAAUCAAACUAUGUUCUACGGGUUAUAUAGAACCUAUAAAUUGUUUUUGAAUCUAUAAAAUCAACUAAAUUAUAUUAAAUCAACCUUCAUACAAUUAAAAAAAAAUUACAAGAAAAAUAUACACAACAUCUGAAUAUAUUUUUAUAUUCAAGAAAAAUUUAAUUUAAUAUGCAGUAUAGGAUAAGCGCGGUUCAAUGAUAUAAUAAAUAUCUAUAGGAUAGACUUUUGGUCUGAAGAAACUUUUGUGGCCACGAAUUGCCUGUACCGGUAAUUGUGCAAUUUUGGAUUUUUUUUUCUUACAUCUAAUUUACGAAUUACUCAUGGAUAAAUAAUUGAGACAUUCAAGUUAAUGAAUUACAUCGAUCGAUCAUCAUGAAAUCGUGAUAUUUUUAUAUUAAUCUCAAUAAACUAUAAAGACUAAGCUAUAACCUAUCCCUUAUCUAUCUUUUAUUUUAUAUUGUAAAGCUAACACAUCGUCUCGAAAGUUUUCCACAAUUAUAAAUAAUAGCACUUUAAAAAAUGAAAGAGUUAUUGGAUUAUCAUGAAUUAUCAAGAAUUCAACUUAGUACUCCGACUAAAAGGUGCCACGUAGGCAUACUAAUUCAUGGCGUUGUGAUGGUAAGACUAUUAUAAAAUAAAAUAAAAGGUAGGGCUUGAAAGAAAAAUAAAAGGUUAGAGGCUCCCAUAAAAAGAAAAAGAAAUACUUUGAAGAAUAAAGAGGCCAAAUCUGAAUAAAACCCUUCAGUUUUAAAUAAUAAAUAGUAAAUAAAACUUUAUGGAUCAUAGACCGAAAAUAAUAAUAAGGUAGCUCCUCACAACAUGGAGGGUCAAAAAGCCAGGGUUGUUUGUUUAUCAAAUUUAAAAUAAAUGCUGCUAUUAAUUUAGGCAUUGUGAUUUUAAAUUGGUGGUCUAAAUUGCAUACAAUAAAUCAAUUUUUUUUUUUUUUUAAAAAAAUGAUUGAUAGUGUUAAAGUCCAUAAAAUUGUAAGUGAAUUAUUGAACAUAAAUAUUGAUCUCUAGCAAUAAUUAAUUUCUUUAGUUGUGGAGAGUGUUAUGUAUGCUUUUUAUAUAUUUAUUUUUUGGAAUUACAUAUUCAUUCAUAUAUCUAAAAGUAUUGAUAUUUAAAUAUUAUACAAGUUUUUUAUUAAUGACUUACUCCAUCACUUUUUUUAGUAUAAAGUUAAUGCAAUGUAGAAGUGCCUUUACAGCACAUAUUCAAUUCCGUGUGGUUAAACUUUAGCACUAUAUAUGUAUAUUAGUGACUUAAUAUAAAAUUAAAUUUUAAAUCUCAUUUAAUUUUUAAUUUUUGUUUGAUUGAAUUUAUUCUUUAGAGAACCGAAUAAUUAUGAAACGCUACAACUUUAUUAUUUUAUAAUUAAAAAAUCAAUAUAAAUAGUUUUUAUUUAAGUAAAUGUAUAUUUUUUAUCAGAUUGAGAGAAUAUGUUAAUAAAUUAAUAUAAAUUGUUAUUGGAACACUUAAUAAUUUAUUUUUUUGGAUUUAGUUGAUAUUUUGAUCAUACUUAAGAAGCACGUUUUGCUAAUUUCUUUCUCUCAUUUUCUUCUUUAUUUAUUUUAUAUUUUUUCUGUAUGAAAACAUAGUUCAAUUAUAGCUUAUUUUGGCUUAAAACAAUGAUAAAAAUUUAAGAGUUCGAUUAAUAUUUGAUUUUCUAAUUUUCAAGUGAGAUUCAUUGAUAUGGUAUCAGAAUCUUGUUAAUCAAGUGAUCAUAAAUUUUUCUUUCACCUUUAAAAAUUAAAAACAUUAAAAGAAAUAAGAUAUGUACAAAAUAUCUUGAAGUUUUAAAGUAUUUACUCAUUCUAUUUGAUAAAAAUUAAGUUAUAUGAAUUGAUGCAAAUUUCAAAUUUAAAAUAAUUUUAUCUAAAAAAGUAUAUUAAAAAAUUAUAAAAAUCAUAUCUUAUAACUUUACUAUAAUUUUUAGGUUGAUAUAUGUCGAAUGAAUGAAUGUAUUUAUAUUAGGGUGUUGAUAGAGUAGACAAAGUCAUUAGUCAAACGAUUACCUUUUAUAGAUAAUUCUUGAUUUCACUCUCUAGAGAUAAUUCAAAUCUCAAUGAUAAAGAUAUAUAUACUAUUCUUUUAUAAGAAGACUACUUUAUACGUCCAAUCAAAUACGGAUUUUAAAGAAUGGACAAAUGAUACUUUUGGUAUGCAUCAACGUUAGAAAAGAGAAAAAAGGAAACCAUGUUAUUAAUAUUAUAUAUGUUAAAUCAAUGAUCUAUAAAAACCAAACACUUGGUCUCUCUCCUUUUCUCCCUGUCUGAUAUCAUGCAUGAUAGUAAUGCUGUUAUGAUGGGAUAUAGUUUAAAUAUCUUCGAGAACAGUGAUCUAUGCGUUAAAAUAAAAGAAGAAGAACAAAAAUAGUUAUGAAUGAUCGUUUUCUUUGCAAAAGGCCCACAAGCUCCUUCUGCUAGCUCCUUCAUGAAUGAAAUCAAUACCGUUAAGAAGACUAAAACGUUGUCGUAAGUAGCCAGGUCAUUUUACUCCACAUAAAAUGUUUCUGUUCUCAGGAGCAGAUCCAAAUGCCCAAGUGAUAUGCCCCCAGAAAUGACCAAUAUACUAGUAUUACUCAGAAAGGACAGUUUAGUUGAGAAGUAGGUGAGUUGAGAGCUAACGCUGCCUGCCUGUGUGUAGUUUCGGCUACGGCCCCUUAAUUAAUGAGGAUAAAAAAUCACAUAUUACCAAUGAAAUUUAGUAUCAUUGAGAAUUUUGUUAAGUGAUUCUAACAGCUGAUGAAAUAUAAUGCCAAAAGAUUGAUUGUCAAUAUUUUUUUUUGUUCUAAAUAAUUUGAAGAUUUUAUCGGCUAGAUCUAUAGGUAUGGAUGUCAAAAAUUAAUAUUGAUAUAUUACUUAAUUAUUUAAAUGUCUGACAUCUCCAUCACUAUAUUGAUUUUUUUUCUCUUCAGAUCCGACUCGAUAUUCAUAAUUAGGGACAUGUUGUAUCAGUUGAUGAAAUUCUUUGUUUUGGUGAGAAACAUCCAUUUUUUACUGUGAGAAAUGAGUUGUGUAGCGUUCCAAUUACAGUAAGAUUUCAUCUUUUUUAUUCAUGGGUGUCGGUGAAAUUGAAUCAGGCGAAUAUAUUAUAUUGUUUGAUUAUUUUUUUAUCUCAUAAUACAUAUAGUGUAAAAAAAAAUUUAAUUGGAAAUAUAUUGAAAUAAUAUUUUAAUAAAAUGGACCCACACCCAUUGAACUUGCUUGGAUCUUCUGCACGUGUGUGUACAAGAGCACGUUUGCAAGUGCUUCUGAUAUGCUGCUUGGUCGUUAUGUUUUAUUUCUUUUCACAUUUUGGUCCUAACAAGCGGGCAUAAUGCAUAAAGGCCUGUUUUUUCUUCACCUAUCUACGAUUACAGUAGUACUACUAUGUCAAAGCGAGAUAUAUCACGAGGCACAGGCGCCGCUAUGCCGCAAAAAUCAAAGCUGACUCGACUCGCAAGCCGUCAUCGGUUAAACUAACCAGGCCUUUCACAUGUGACGUGGCAAAUCUUUCGUGCAACUUAUUUGAGUAUCGACGGCAGUUUUUUUAUAGCAGGGUUAUUAAAGUGGGUCUUGCCCGACACGGUUGACUCGGUAACUCUUUAACUUAGUUCAAAUUAAAUUAAAUAAUAUUUAAUUCAGUAUGACUUCACAAGCAACUCUUAAUAUGAUUAAAAUCUAUUUUUAUUUUUUUAUAAUGAUAUUAUUUUAUUUUUGAUUUUUUUUAAAUACAAAACUAUUUUAAUUUCACUUGUUUAAUUUUUUUAACGAGUUUUAGAUCAAAAUUUAAUAAAUCUAGUUUAUACAUAUAAGAAUAUUAAUAAAAGAUUCACUAUAUAUAUAUAUAUAUAUAUAUAUAUAUAUAUAUAUAUAUAUAUAUAUAAACAAAUAUAUCCAUCCCUCUAGGUAGACAUUCAGAUCCUGAAGCCAUUCAAAAGAUUUUUAUUUCUGAAGGUAGAUUGAGACGGAGUUCAUAGUAGAAACUAGCAUAGUGGCAUGAACAUUAAAGUGUUCGUGGGUUGUCCUAACAGUGUCGCUAAGAUUUAGUGCUGUUAAAAUAAAGAUGAAGACAGCGGUCAAGUGGCGGUAGAAAGUGACAGAUGAGAUAGAGCAACUAUCUCUGUUCAGAAAUAAAUUCCUGGAGCUCUCUGUUCCCCCAGUUCCUACUAAUCUUUGGAAAUCAUUACAAGACAGGAGAUGAUUUCAUUUGGUUUCCUUCGAUUUUCUUGACUUUCACCUCCGUUUUCUCUUCUUUUUCAAGUCAUUGGCAAUUACAUAACGAAGGUCAUGAGUUGAUUCGAUCCAAUUUAAAUAGUUUCUAUUUUGCUCAAAAGGUAGAGAGACUUUGAUUUUUUAGCCUUCCAGUAUAUAGACCAAGAAAAUUGAGAAAUGAACUGUGCCAAGGAGCACCCUUUUCACCUGGCCUCAUCGAGACUCACUGCCAAGGAGCACCCUUUUCACCUGGCCUCAUCGAGACUCAGUGAUCAUUUCACAGCAAAUGAGGGUAAGAUAUAUUGAUUGGGCAGUGAAAUAUCUGCUGAUCUUUGAACAACAAAGAGUGAAAUCGAGGGGACUUGAUAGAUUUUUGCAUAGAUAGCAAUUGGUGGAGUAAGAAGGUGGAAUGUUGUGGAUGCUCUCUACUUCUCUAGUGGGGUGGUGGGUGGUGGGGGCUUUUCUUUUUAAAUUAAGCACACAAAUAACGAACUAGUUUCCUGAUAUGUGGGAACCCAUUCUUUAGUGUUUACUGAAUUAGAAAUGGGCUAUGGCUCCAGGUUGUUGUGAACAGCGGAUUCUCAUGAGUUGGUGGCCGAGCAACUUUGCCCUCCUCCAUCUUGGGACCGCUCGAAUCUCAAGUUGGAUGCAGAAAAGGAGAGAUGGGAAAAAUCCCAUUAUUGGUCCAAUUCUCAUUUCUGAAGUUAUUGGCCUAAAGAAAAACAGUUUCCUAACCACCAUUUUCAUUGCAUAUGUUGGACCUCAUGCGACUACCGAGCUAAAACAAUUUGGUUAAUGAAAACAUUUUUUAGUUGAAGAAAAAGAAAAUUUUAGUUUAGAUUUCAAGAAAUUAUUUUUUUUUAUUUUGAAUUGAAAAUGCUUUCAAGAAGUUGUGGGAAAAUUAAAAAUAUUGUUGAUUAUAUUAAAUUUGAUUAUCAAUUUUUUAAUUGUUAUAUAUUUUGUUUUGAUUUUUUUAAAAAAAUUUAUCUAUUAAAAUUUGAUUUUUAUAUCAACUUUGAUCUUUAUUUUUUUCUUGUUAUUUUCUUUUAUCUUAUAAUUUUUUAAUUGAAAACUUGUAUCUAUUAUAUUUGAAAUAAUUUAUGAAAUUUUAAUUUUUUUUAAUUUUAUCAUCUUUCAACCUUUUUUAUCUAUCAAAUUUUAUUUUUAUUAUUUUAAUUGUUAUUAUUUUAUUUAAAAUAAUUUUUAAAAUUAGAUUUUUUUCAAUUCAAUUCUCCAACUUUUUUAUCUAUAAAAUGUUAUCAUUAUUCUUUUAAAAACUUGAAAAAAAAUUAAAAAAUUAAAAAGUUAUUCUCUAAUUUAUUUUUUAUAAUAUAAUUAACAUUGAAAAGUCUUCUCUAACUCAUUUUUUAUAAUACUUUUAAAAAUAAAAAAGUAAUUUAUUUUUAAAAAAUUUAAGUUAAAAAAAAAAAAACAACUUUUCUUAAUGCCUUGUUUGUUUCUAGGAAUUUAUUUUCCUCACUUUUUCAUGUUUGACAAACACAAGGAAAAUGAAUCAAAAGAAAUUCAAUUCCAGUCAACAAGAAAAAUAAAACGUGAGAGCAGGAAAGUGUUUUCCUUCCUUUAUUCUAAGGAAAACACUUUCCCAUUCUCUGUUAAUUUCACUGAACCAAAAGCUCACAGUGGCCAGAGUUGGGCCCAAUCCUGCGUUUUUAACUGUUCAUGUUAAUUGCACUGUUCAUUGAACAGUGCAAUUAACAUGAACAGUUUAUUGUGUACAUUGUUCACUCAAAAAUAGUGAACAGUGUAGUUCUCUUGCACUGUUCACUUGCCUGCGGGAACCUUUUUUUUUUUUUUUUUAAAUGUGCUAUUUUUUUAACAUUUUAAAAAAAACUAGUUUAGAGUGAAUUUUAUACCUUAAUAUUUUAUCCAAUUUUAUUACAUGCUAAAAAUAUUAUUAAAACUAUAGUUUUUGUCGGAUGUAUUUCGUACGUAAUGAAAUUAUAAAUGGUUUCAUGGAAUAGUAAAAAAUAUUUCACAAGCUUAUUUCUCUAUAAUAUGAUAUGAUAUAUAUAGUUAUAUUUUAUAAAAUAAGUUAUAUAUGAAUAUAGGAUAUAAUAAAAAAAAUUCAUCAUUAUACAUUUUAGAUUUUUUUUUAAUUGUAAGUGAUUAAAUAUUUUAUAUUAAAUAUUUUAUAUAUAUUAGAUAAAUUUGAAAAAAAAAAUUAAUUCAUUAAUAAAUUAUUUUCCAGUUCAUUUUCUAUAAUACAACUAAACACUGGAAAAUGUUUUCCAGUUUAUUUUUUAUAACACUACCAAACAUCAAAAAAUACUUUUUUAAAAUUUACUUUUUUUAAAAUUUACUUUUUAAAAAUAUUUUAUUUUUCUGCAAACAAAUAUAGUCUAAAAGUGAUUGGCAUUUCUGGUAGGAGCCAAAUCCUAACUGAAGAAAGAUCAGUACUAACAAUAAAAAAACAAGAAAACCCCGAAAGGCCAAAAUUCAAUUGGAAUUAUGACCCUCCUUUAUGACCUGCCUUUUGAUUGAAUGAUUGAUUGAUCAGUAUUUUUAGAGGUCACUGUUUGAAACUUUUUGGGUUACUGACCUAAUGAUUCAGGGGGGCUUUAAUGAUAAAAUUGUUUGUGGGGCUAAGAAGAUCCUUUGAGUAGUGAUUAACAAGUGCCAUUCUUUCUUGGUUUUGACCUUCCAGCCUCUAAUGAGCCCAUUCUUGCUGCUAAUCUGAACCUUCAGUAUUUAACUACUGUUUAGAAUGGCUUUUCAAAAGUAUUUUUAAAAAAGUUUAAUUUUUUUUUAUUUUUUAUUUUAUUUUAACUUAAUAUGUUUUUUAUGUUUUCAAAUCAUUUUGAUGUGCUGAUCUCAAAAAUAAUUUUUAAAAAAUAAAAAAAUAUUAUUGACAUAUUUUUCUAAGUAAAAAACACUUUAAAAAACAACAACAACAACACUCUCAAACACCCUCCCAACUAGCCGUCUGCGAAUUGGUAAACACAAGUGUAUGGGAAUGUAAUAUAGCUCAACUGUAACAUAUCUUAGUGCUUGAUAAAAUAGUGUGUGUGCAAGUUGAAAAGUACGGAUGAUUCUAGCAUGUUCACGGUUGCAAUGAGCAUAUUUUCUUCAUAAAUUCUCUCAACAAUUUGGACAAUAAUUGAGAUCAAUGUCGGAUCUGAGUUUCAUGGCCAUUUAUCUCAUGGGGCAAAGUGCUUUCGCAUCAUGUCCCUGCAUUAUUUUUCGCUAGUUGGAUCAUUGUCAGUGACCAUAACAAAAGGUGUAGAGCAGAAUCUGCCCAAAUCCUGGGGCAGCAGCAAAGUUUAGGUACUGCGCUAUAUGCUUUCCUUUUUUAGAAGGUUACCGAGAUUCGGUGGUGUUGUAACUUCCUUUACAGCAUUUCUGCAACUAGUGGGAGCCAUAAAUCACUACGAGUGUUUCAUUGUCCAUCAGAAAAUGUGGGUGUCAUUUUUGAAUCCCAGUUGCCAUGGGAAUCGUGCUUGGGAUUGAUUGAAAGAGAUGGUGGUGUUUUGGAUUAUUAGAGCAAGAUAAUAAAUGAUGAUGAAAGUCCUCUUCUUCGAGGCCCAAUAAUAGAAGCUGAUUACCAGAACUUUUCAAUGUUCCCCAAAGAGUAAAGAGAGAAACUAAUGAAUGGUUUGAACUUGAAAAACCCGACUGCAAGUGGAUGGAUCUUGAGAUUCAUAGUGAAGGAACUCUUGUGGUGCAACGCCUGAGUCCACGCUUCCCUUUCUUUUUUCUAAUGAAAAAAUUAUGCAAUUUCUUCUCCAACAUCACCAAUUGCAACAAUUUAUCCAGCAUGUUCUAGACAAAAGAAGCAAGACUAACAUGUUUAUUACUGAAUGUUAUCAAAGAGAGGCCGCUUGUUGGAUUUAAUUGCAUUACAAAAGAAGCAAGACUAACAUGAUUAUCAUUUAUUGUUUUUCAUAAACAACAAGAUAAAAAAAGAUGAGUAGAACUUAUUAGAUUUAAAAUUGAAAAAUAUAAAAUUAUGAUUGAUCCUUUCAUGAUUAUUAUAAUCUUUUUCAAGAUCAUUUAAUUCUUAAACAUCCAAAAUUUAUUUAUAAUUUAAAAGAAAAUAUAAUAACAUGAAUUCUACUUCUACUUUCAUAUAUUUUUAUGUACAAUCCAUUAUGUUGACUUUUAUUUGCUAUUGCGAUAAAUUCUUAAUAUAAUAGAUGAAAUAAUUAAAAAAAAUUAAUGUAUGCUUCACGUAUCUUGAUUUUUUUAAAAUUAAUGAAUCAUCGUAUUCAUAUCCUAUGGUACCCGUUGUUCUAUUAACAAUAACUAAAUCUUCACUAGUCUUCGCCCAAUUCCUUGUCUAGAUGAGAUGAUCAUAAAUUAAUAUGACAAAACUUUGGUUUGAACUAAGAACUGGUAACUUUUUCGAACAAACUCCAACCUACUGACCCUACUUGUCCGAAUUUCUACCGAUUUAUUUUCCCCGUUAGUGUUUACGUAAAUAACAUGGGAUUUUCAACUAUCUUUGUCGACAACCAGUACCCCGAAUUUCGAGUGAUAUAAAACGAAAUCCCAUGUUAAGCAAAAGCCGGCGUCAAAUUCAAAGUAAGCAUUCUUACCAGAAGAUUCAAAGUAAAGCCUGUAAAGUGCUCUUUUGAUCACUUUCACAAUCAGCUACUCAGCACCACGGGCCACGAGAUUGCCUUCUUUAUUUUCUCCUGUUCAUACUACUGUUAGCAUCCCACAACUCCGUUUCAACUUUGAUUUCUUGGCUCUGGUUUGAUUAACGACAAAUUAUUCAUAUAAACACUAAGAAAUUUAUAAAAGUUUUAUUUCUCAGAGUCUUAUCUUAUCCAUCAAGAUUUAACCAUAUAAGACCAACCCAUUUAACUUGAACAAAAUUCAUUUAUGAAAUUUCAAAUGUUUGCGUUGAUGAAAAUGAAAAUGAUGUGCAACUUGUAUUUUAGCUAAGAAUAAUUAUUUUAUGUUUGGUUCAGUUUUUAUAAAAAACAAUAACCUAACUGAAUUUUAAAAAAAAAAAAAAACCAAAACCAGUUCAAACUGACCGGUUUCGAUUUGGUUCGGUUCGGUUUUUUAGGUCAAAAACUGGAUCAAACCGGUUUGGCUUGGUUUUUUUGGUUUGGCUUGGUUUUUUUCCGGUUUAGCUCGGGUUUUUUUUGUUCGAUUCAGUUUUUUCAGUUUCAAGCUUAUAAAACCGAACCAGUUGGUUUUUUUUUAAAUUUUAAUCGGUUUAAUCGUUUUUUUUACAGUUCGGUUUUUUUAGUUAUUUUUUUCUGAUUUUCUCGGUUUAAUUGAUUUUUCAAUUUUUUAACUCACCCAUAAUUUUAGCGAUUCUAUAGAAAAACUAAGGUAUGGAUGCAAUAUUUGAUGUUAAAAAAAGGAGUAAUUCAGCUUAAAUUCAAAUCUUGAAAACUAAUUAUUCUGAAAAAAAAAAAUAGAGGCGGUGAUGUAAUAAUAUGGAUUGUCUUGUACAAGUAAUUGGUCAAAAAAAUUUAAAAUUGUUCUUACAAAUUCAUGUACUAGUUUAUAAAAGCGUAGUGUCAACGUAUAUUGUGAAUAAUUAAUGUGAAUCAAAGUAAUAAAACCAAAUAUGCCGCAUGAACUGGUAUACAGUCAAAUCAUGAGUUAUACUGAGUUGAAUUGGAUUCACUUUCAAGAUUAUUUAAAAAUAAAUUAAAAUAAUAUUAUUUUAAUAAAAUUUUAAAAAAUAUAAUCAAAUGUUGAUCAAGUCGAUCAAUUUUUUAAAAACACUUAAUUUAAUUUAAAUUUAAAAUUGAUUAGGUCUAGAAUUGACAUAUUCCGGUAAAUUGGGUGUGAUAUGUUGUCAAACUCUCUUUUCAUUGGUUUUAGUUUUUAUUAAGUUGGCUUUUUUUCUCUUGGUCUUUUUAACCAUAAACAUUAAAAAGAAAAUACAUUUUAAUAUAAAAUACAUUGAUCCAUUACUUUUGAACAUUAAAUAUAAUAAAACAUAUCAUUUUCAUCUUCGUCUUUGUGUAUUCUAUUCCAAUAUAAUAACUAAACGAAAGUAUGUUAUUGCCUUUGUACACUUAAUUAGUGUAUCAAAUUGUGCUAUAUUCUAUCCAUAUAAACUUACUUUUGUUUGCUUAUGCACAUGAUUAAUAAUUUUGGGGCAACCUAUCAGUAGAAAUAAGUUCAAACUACGCCCUCAAACAUAAUAUCUGUCAUCAAAUUCAAUUGCAACAUGCUAAUUAAUUACUCGUCAUAAACUAGAUUUUGAUACAGAAAGAAUGAUUUUUUAGUAUAUUUUUCAUUUCGAUGUAAAUUUGGAUUUUGCUCAUAAGAAUGGUUUCUUAUACUUUACUAUUUAAGAUUUUUUAAGGAUUUGAUAUAUACAAGAACUACUCACAGAUUAUAAAAUUUCAUGAUUUUACAAUUUUAUGAUCUGAUUGUUUGAACCAUCGAGUUUUCUAAUUAGAACCCUCAUUUCAACACCCUUUGCUUGCCAAAGGAAAAGGAGAAUCUUGCGCUUCUGGAUAGUGCAUGGAUUUGCCACCAUAAAGCAGGCCGCAGGCCGUCGUGUAACAAUGCUGCCUCAGACGUGUAUUGUCUUGGCAUGGCAUCCCCUGGGCUUGCUAUAGACUUGAUCCAAUAUCACUCCCUCUGCCUUUUGGGGCUUCAUGUUUAAGAAUUGAUUUAAAGCGUGAGAGCACAAUAAUUGUUAUUUUUUAAAAUAUUUUUUAUUUAAAAAUAUAUUAAAAUAAAAUAUUAACAUUAAUACAUUAAAAUAAUCUAAAAACAUUAAAAAUAUAUUAAUUUAAAGUGAAGAAAAAAAUAAAAAAAAUUUCAAUACCUGAUCUUUAAUUUAAUGCACAUCAAACUGGGCAAAAUAUAACUCCUAACUGUUUAAAACAAUCAGAUUAAAGUGCAAAUAUUCUUAACAUUUCUGAACCAGCACUUAAAUUGACAACAAAAAAGAAAAGAAAGGGAAUAUUAUCUAAGAAAAUAACCGAGUUCAAAAAAAUAAAUCGAUGAUAGUUGAGGUUUAUCGGUUUACAGAUAGCGGCACCAUGGAAGAAAGGAAUACACAUGAUAGCUGAUUUUCACCAACAUAACAAAUCACACUGCACCUCGCAAGCUUGCAUCUCUCUCGCUUGCUCGCAUGAAUAUUCAAAUCCCUAGAUAUGUUAGCAUAAACCAAUUUCAAAAAAGAAGCCACAAUUUAUGUACCUUCUAAUUUGUCUGCAGUACCAUUCUCUCUUUUGACCCACUGACUGGCUGAUCUUCUUGAAUCUUGUACUCUCUGCUUCCUCUUAUGAAUUUUUAACAUAAACAUGAAAAAAAUUUAAAAAUAGUUUGAAAAAUUUAUGGAGUUCUCUAAAUCAGAAUGAAGGAUCAUCUCCUCAUCUUUGACCUCUGCUCCAGAAUUCUGAGAUCAACGCAGAUCGGUAAUUACUAUGCUGCAUUUGAAUGAACAAGAAUCCACCAAACAAACAACAGGUGAUUGAAUUGAACAGAAAGGGUUCAUUAGAAUUUUUUAUCAUGGAAGCCGCUAUUACCAGUUCAAACUGUUGGUAAAUACACUUCAGAUCUAUACCAAUCAUUUUGAUGGCAUACCGAUUGAGAAGCUUGAGUUCGAAUCAAGUCAAGCACGUGCAUGUUCAUAACCCUUGGCAUGGAAAACCUUUCUGUCAACUGGACAGUUACCCAUUUUUCCUUCCAAUACUCCAUGCACAUCUCAUAACCCCAGUUUGUUUUAAGAAAAAUUAAUAGCAUGAUAGUUAAAUAACCAAUGUCUUCUUGAUUAAAAAAAUGUUAAUAACCAGGCAGCAUAUGUUCUAUUAGCCCAAUUAGAAGACAUACCAUUCUGAUUUCCCAUGUCUCAUGUCCCUGACAAUGCAUUCACUGCCACAGUUUGAGGAAAAAAGAUAAGGAUGACAGGGAAAAUAUUUAAAGACCAAAAUCAAAACUAAAACCUAGUAAAGUAUCAUCAAGAAGAAAGAAAUCAGAACUCUACCUGUGAAAGAAACGGAAUCAAGACAUCAACUUCAUAAAUGACAAGGCUUCAUGUUGUUCAUCAUCUGGGGACUAAAGGGUACAAACACAGAGGACAAUCACCAUCUGAGUGGUUCAUAACAGAGAGCUUCUCCACCACUUCCUAAAAAUGUAGAAUCAAUGAAUCUUUGCAACUUCUAUAUAUCAGUCAAAGAAAAACUGCAAAUAUACGCAAAUUCACUCCUGAAGCUAUGUGUAUUUUAGAUUGGGCAAUUUGUAGGCAUUCCUGUCAAGGUGCAGGAAAUCUAGUAAAUAGACAUUCACUGUUAUUUUUGGUGCAGCGUCCAGGUAAAACACAAUACUUGGUAAAAUAGCAUGCCAUGAAUGUGUUUUCACCCUGGUUACUGUGCAUAUAGAUUCUGCCAAAAACUAUUAUUAAAUUACAAUCCAGGAUCUUUUAUUACCUUGAUGAUUCUACACCAACAACCUAUUUUAGCACUGCAGGCAAUUCAAACUUAUGAUCAUAUCUUGAAAAUAACAGGGAUUGUGAUAUCAAAUCCUCAACUGAAAUGUUAAACAGAAAGAAUAAGAAGCAUCAGAGCAUAAUCUUAAUGCUAAUUGGCACAAGCCAAAUAUUACAGCGCAUGCAUUUACUUUGCAGAACAGCCAAUUACUUAAAGACUACCGACAGAUAUAUGACAAAUGGAAAAAAAAUCAAAUUAAGAUGAGGAUUUUCUACUGUUUAUCAAAUACGAGGCAAGUAAUAUGGUUUUCUCAAUUCGUUAACACAAUAUAGAAUAACAAUAUCAAUGCAGAAAAAAUCCUUGUUAUGUGAAAAAUGCAGCAAUUACCUCGCAAAGUGCUACAAGCAUCAAACAGGAGGAAAGUUCACAUGCUUUGUGUUGUCCACUAGUUAUCAAUUGCUUUUGCCUUUCUCCAUCAAGACCCUUGGAUUCUAUGAGAUCAAUAUGCAGAGGUUUGCUUGGAUACUACCAUGGAAUAUGGACAAAAUAUAGUAUCGAAACAAAGGUAUUCAAGAUUUCACAAACAAUCAACAGCACACAUGGAGCAUCCAACCCUAAUAAUUUUCACCACUUAGGCAGAAAAUACAUACAAAUUGACAUCUCCUUGAUGUUGUAAAAUACCUCAGGACUUGCUUUUAUCCCAAUAACUGCUUCCACAAACAGAGAGAAAAACACAAUGAAGUCCUAUAGAACAGUUAUUUAUGCCUCUUCUCUGUGUCAAAAGAAAUAGUACAAAAACAGUCAUCAAUCUCCAUAAAAAAAGUUACAACCGCUGGUAAAAAGAAAAAAAAAAAACCGACGCAUACCCUUAAAUGCAAUGAGAGACGGAAAAGGAUGAAUCUUUUUCUAAUAGUAUAAUUCACACUGCUACAGCUGGAUGCGAAAUCAAGAACCCUUAAGCUGAUUUUUAGCUAUGAGAAUUGAUAUGCAAUAAAACUAGUGCAAUUUUCCCUUCCAAUUCAUAGUGCCAAUACCUCUCUUAUAUCCUUACACAAAAAUAUUCUACGAAAAUACAAUAAACAAAUUAGAAUCAUUAUUCUAAAUAAAUGGGUUUGCUCAAAGGAAUCAGCACUAUCAACUUUUAACACACCUUGAUAAGAAUCGUUUUUAUUUCCCAGACAAUUUUUUCUCGAAUUUUGUUCUUCAAAACCAAAAAAUAAGCAGACCCCAAAAGUAAAAGAAGGGGAAAGAGAGUGGUGGACCUGUUGAGAGGAGAUAUCAACGGUUCUGGGUUUGAUGUGGAGGUGAAGAUGAGGAGGGAAAGAAUCGAGAAUUGCACAAUCGUCGCCGAACACGGCCAGCACCGCUUCUACUUCCAUUAAAAACUUCUUCUUCUGCCAUUCCUUUUUCUUCAACAGCUGCCUAUGCAGUCUGUCCCUUCAAUUUUUAAUUUUCCGGGGUAAAUUUUGAAUUUGUUUUAUUUUAAAUUUAUUUAAUGUAUUAAUAUUAAAAAAUUUUAAAAAAUAUUAUUUUAAUAUAUUUAAAAUAAAAAAAUUUAAAAAACAAUUUAUACAACAUUUUUAAAAAUCUAUUAAUCUUCGACAACGAUUGAGAAAAUAGUUGUCGGUCAUGUUUUAUAUGCAAUUUAGUUUAAUUAAAUAUUAUUGAAUUUGUUUAACUAACUAAUUAUUAUAUUUAUAAAAAUGAUAUAUUCAAUAAAACCUUGAAUUAUCUAAAUUUUCUUAAUCAAUUUAGUUAACUGAUUUUUAAGAAUUUCUCAGAACAGGAUAAUUUGGGUAAUUACCUGAAUUUCUUUAGGAACUCAUUUUAUAUAUAAUAAUAAUAACAAUAAUAACAUUACCAACAACAAAACACUAAAGAUAAUUUAAUAUUUAGACAUGGUCAUAAAAUAUUGUUAAUUAAAAUAGUGUUAUAUGUAUUUUUUUUAAUUUUAUUAUUCAAUAAUUUAAUAUUUGUUAAUCUUUUAAUUUUACCAUUUAAUAUUAUAUUUAUAUAAAAAAAAACAUACUAGCAAUGCUUGAAUGUUUUUUUCACGUUAAAAAAUUUGAUUCAAUACACAGCUAGUGAUCUGAACUAACAGGAAUAUAAAAAUGAAAAGGAGAGUUCUUAUCCAAUGCUAACACUGUAGAGAUUCCAAUGCAGACGAGAACAACGAAUGUUGAGGAUAUUGCCAGUGUCAAGUAGCAUUUGAGCAAAAACAUAUCUACUACUUAAAAAUAAAGAAAAUUUAAGCAUGCUUCUGUAUUUGGUUCCAUGUUCAUGCUGUUCAACUUGAUUCAAAUACAUCCAACGUAACGAUAUAAUAUGAUUUAUGUUUGCUUCCCCAGCUUGCUACCUUCUUCUUCUUCUUCUUCUUCUUGUGCAAGUACUCACAUGCAGAUAUUUAGCACCUCAUUGAGAGCAGACACAUAUUAUAUUAUCUUGAUCCAUGAAUGUAUGAUCCAGCACCUGAUGUUCAGUUUUUGGGAGAGGUAGGGAAUAUUUGAGAGGUAAGAACAUGAAUUUUUCUCAAGUGAGAUGGUUACCAAGUUCUGAGUCUCGAUAAAUGAUUGUUUUGCACUGCGAAAUCACGAUUUCAAAUUCUCUUAUGGAAUUAUUUAAGCUAUACGGAUAAAUAAAAUAAAACUAUAUGGAUGGUGGGCCUUCAAAUGGUAGACUCGUAGUCAUUCUUUAUUAAAGUCUUUCGUCAACGUUUUUUUUUUUUUUGUCCUGUAACUUUGUGAUAUCUCCUUGCAGCCACAUAUCAUCUACCCCGGUACUGGUACUAGUUUUUGUGUGGACGAUCUGUUCAAUUUCAUCACUAACUCAAAUAUUCAGGUUGCUUUCUUCUUCUUUUUUUCGAAAAAAAAUCCAGGUUUCUGCUGGUGCCAAUGGUGAAUACUAAUUUUAACAAGCCAGAUCAAGUUUGGCCUUGAGAAUAUGCAAGUAAUUUUAACCGCUACAAAUUUGAUUUCUCUCCAAUUCUUUCGAUUCUAACUUUGAUUUGUCCUUCCCUUGAUUGAAAAUGCACACAGGUUAAGGCAAGAAAAAAGAGAGCAGCAGCAGAGAUGCUGGAGUUUAGCUAUAGCAGUUUAAAAUGCAUAAUCCAGGCGUGAUUCAAAGCUUGCAGCUUGAAGAUUUCAGCGGUGGAGUUGCAUAUAUGAUUGAUAGAUGACAAGCUGCAAGAAAAGAGAUGAGGUCCGGACAACACUGGAGCAUGAUAAUUAAGGUACGUACAAGUCUAUACUGAAAGCUUGGCUCAUAAAGAACUACUUUGAUCUGAUGUUUAGCCGUUUCGUUCUUGCAAAAUCAAAUAAAAAGAGAGGAGACAAAACAAAGGUUUCCUCUAACUAUGUCCCUUCUCUUUCGUUAACUAGUCUGAGAUUUCUGUACUGAACUGCUCAGCAUUAACCUUCAAGGUUUUCAUGUGGCCAGAAUUGAACAAUAAAAUUUCAUUUCGAGACCAAACCCUCAUACGGGCCUUUUUAUUUGGGCUUUGGCCCGUUUUUUACCCAAAGAAAAGUCCAUGAAUUUUUUUUUGUUUUUCAUGGCUUCAAUCAUUGAAACCUUAGGUUAGUCGAUAUCGAACGAAGUCUCCGAGAUGUCUCAUGGACCUUGGGGUGUCGAUAUCGAACAAUGUCUCCAAGAUUCCUCGCAGCUUUCAUCUUUAUAUCGAGACUGUUAGUCGCCGUAUGAAAUUCAAAUCUUCCCUACUUUCUCUGAAUAUUGGCUAGCCUUUCUUUCUUACGUCGUCCUCUGCUUAAUUAAUUUUCCAUUCUAGCAAGCUAUGGAAGCCAAUAGGAUCGAGCUGGAUCCAUCUGGCCAAGAACUCGAAGGUACGUGUGUUUAUAUCUUUAGAUCAAUAGUGAUCUGCAGGUUUAUAACUAUAUUAUAAUCAAUUAUAUAUGAUCAUCAUUUCUUAUUUUUAACAUCAAAACCAUCUGGACCACGCACUCUCUUGUUCCUCUUCUUUGAAUCCGACUCUAUAACCCAUUCCCCGCAACUGAUCUUAACUGCUUUCUUGAUUGCAAAUACUUCAGCUUCAUUUGACUCUUUUGCACCAAUUGUUCACGAGAAAACACAAUUCAAAAAGCCACCAAUUCCCUUUGUUUUCGGCUUUCCUAAUUAAAGAGGAACCAUCGACAUUCCAUCUUCCAGGACUCAACCAACUGUAUGAGCAUGCGCGUUUGCUAGAUUUGUCCAUAACUUUAAUUUCAUCAGAACUUCUCUUCGCAUACAAACCUGUGUGUGGUAGCUUUCUUCUCAUGCAUUUGCCCAAAGAGUAACACGGUAAAAAACUAGAUAGUGUAUAAAGGACUUUACCUUUUUCUUUUAUUCAUUUUAAUCAACCUAUAACUUCUGAUCAUCAGUUGCAGUGGGAUUAGAGUAACAUAGAUGGGUUUCAUGAUUGCUUUUUAAGAUGUCAGAACGUUUAAAAUUUUAGAUCAUCAGUUGCAGUGGGAUUCAAAUGAAUUUUUUUUGUUUAUAAUAUAGUUUUUAAUUUCCCCUUAUUUCUAAACGCACAUAUGCGUGAAUACAAGUUUUUUAGUUGUGAGCUACAAGCCUUUUUAUUAUUAUUAUUGAAAGGAAACUCAUCACAAGUUCAUUUUCAAUAAGCAAAACAACAAAAUAUUUAUUGACUAAUUAAUAAGUUCAUAUAUAUUUAAUAUUUUCUUUCCAAAGAAGUUUAAUUUUUCACAUGCUUUCUAGAUUGGUACCCUCUAGCAUAUUACAUUAUCAAUCUUUCAUCCUCUCCUUCACAACCAUAAAUUUAAUAAGAGUAAUUCUUAUAUUCAAGCACAACUAUCCUUAAUUUAUGCUGAAAAAAUUAUAAUGCAUAAUCAUCAUCUUUUAUUUUUCCUUAGCAUGUCAAUUGUUAGGGUUCUUUUUUUAACUCAUUUUUCUUUCGAUCAGUGAGGCAAUAAAUCUGUUUCGAAGAUUUUAGUGUUUUUUUUUCAAAAAAAAAAUUAAAAAGCUGUAGUUGAUAGUUCAUGUUUUGAUAGGUAAUUUAGAAAAUGUUUAAAGAAUUGAAAUUUUUGGAAUAAAAAUUCAAAAAUGAACUUCUUGAUAAUUUUCCUUAUCGGAAAACACAUAUUAUUAAGAUAGGAGAGUACAGUGUCCUGAGAGAUUAUCUAUACAGAAAGUAGCCAGGAGAAAAAGGAAAAUCAUAUGCAGAGGGCGAAAAUAAAGGAAAGAUAAAAAACAAAUGAAGGAUUGUUCCUUGAAUUCUUAUUAUACAUAUAUACAGCACCUGUUUGAAGCUCUCAUUGGCAUCCUUAUUCCUUAACGCAAAUUUUUAAAGGUUUUCUUCUUCCAGUGUUUAAACGCGGCUCGAGCUAACACCAUAAUUGGAAACUCAAACUGCACGCAGGUAGUCCUAUCGCAGGGGAGAUCUCAUCCGUGAAUCAUCGAUCACCCAGCUCAUCAGCUCCACCUACAGAAGGAAAAGUUCAAUUAAGCGAUGAACAGAAGGCAAAAAAGAAAAUAUAUGAUCACACAUACUGCGAGAAAAAGAAGGUAUAAUGACUAGCUAUUACUCCUAGAUCUUCCUAUUCAUUAACUGGUGCUCUUUCUUUUCUUUCCCUCGUGACUAGUAGUCUUGUAUCAACUUCCUUUUCUAUUUAUUGUGCAGCUACAGGAGGUUGACAUUAUGAAUGAGCUCAAAAGUCUGGAAAAUAUUUCUGGUGAAUUGGAUCGUACAAAUGACAGAUUAAAAAGGAAAAGAGACUACUUGGAGGUCAAUGUGGAGGAGGAAAAUAGGAGAAUUCUUAGCCAGUUGCUCGGCAAUAUUGCAGGACAAAAUACUGAGGUGCAGGAGGCAAAGCGUGCUUGCCAGCCGUUUUCUUCCUCUACCGCCUAUUCGUUCCACAGAAUCGCUACAAUAUCACAUGCAUGCAAAAAUCAAAAUCGAAUUAUCUCUAAAUUAAACUCUUGAUACACACGCAUAUAUAUUCUCAUUUCUUAAAACUAAUCAGCAGCAGAAUUAUGGCACAGAAUCUCCCGCAGGUCAUUGCAAUAAAUAAGUUCAACAUUUUCAUAUCCUUCAAUAUAAUUUAUAGCAUAUCACACAACCAAUUCUAGCAAUUACUAACAUUUUCCAAUGAUUUACAGUCAUUAUGUCAUAUAUAAAAAGGACAUUUGCCUUUUCAAACUUGCCACUUCAUUCUCUUUGUUUAUCAUUAUGUAACAUUUCAUUCGAUAACUUAGAGCCCAUAUCAUAUAUUCUGCUAUGACUACCAUGUAAUGCUAUGCUUUGUUUAUACCACAGGUUUUCAAUGUUUUGCAGACCAAUAGUAAUGGAGAAAGCUCAAUGGGUCUUAGCGAUCAACGAGAAAUGAACGAUGUCCCGAUCACGAGCAGUAAGUUCCGUAACAUCUACAAAAAAACAUAUCUAUUAUAGUCUUUGUUGUUAUAAUUUGUUGGCAUGAAAUAGUAAAAAUACAGAGUUAGUGAAGAGAAGAAUUCGUUUCUUUUCUCUGUUACUAGCCCGGCAUAAAUAGCCACUUUACAAAGCCCUCUUUUAGAUCCUAUAAUUUAAUUAGGACUGAUUGACUAGCUAUAUGGAAAUACAUUCACAUGUUUGCAGGAAUUCUAGUCCAUCUUUACCGCUAGUAGUAGAGAUGAAAUAGGGGCUUAAAUAUUGGAGAAUCAAUUUGGAGAUAAUUACUCAUAAUUAUCAAAACCUCCCCUCGAGGUGGUGCGUAAAUGUCACUCAUGUCUAGUUCGUCGAGAUAGUCAUUAAAUGCUUGGUUUGACACUGUCUUGGUCAGCAUAUCAAUAAGCUAGUCUUGAGAUCAAACAUGAAGAACUUCAAUCAAUUUUUCUUCUAGUUACUCCUUGGUGGAAUGCCUAUCAACCUCAAUUUAUUUAGUUCGAUUAUGUUGAAGAGGAUUAUAAGCAAUAUCACACGUACCUUGUUAUCAAAAUAUAACUUCACAAUAUAACUUUAUAGGGUUGACUUACUUAAUAUGUAAAUCUUGCAUCAGAUUUCUGAUCCAUAACAAUUUGUAUAUUGCCUUAGUCAUUCCUCUAUAUUCGGCUUCAGCACUGGAUCUAGCAACUAUCUUUUUUUUUUUUUAACUUCGCCACAUAACCAAAUUCCCUCAUACAAAUAUGCAAAAGCCAGAUGUAGAACAUUAAUCUUGAGUAAACCCACUCCAAUCAACAUAUAUAUAGUCGUUAAUAUCCAAAUUGUCUCCUUUUGUUAUUAAAAUUCUCUUUCUUGGAGAUGACUUUAAAUAGUGUAAGAUAUGGAUGAUAAUAUUCAUAUGUUCUUCGCUUGAAAAAUACAUAAAUUGACUAACCACACUUAGCACAUAAGCUAAAUCAGGUCAAGUAUUUGAAGAUACAUUAAUCUUCCAACCAACAUCUGAUAGUGUUGUUAGUAGAAACUUGAUAUGAAUGCAUACGUAGUUUUAGAUUUUCUUCCAUAGGAGUGCUAGCUAGACUACACGAUAUCAUACCAGUUUCAUUUAGUAAGUCUAAGAUAUAUUUUCUUUGUGACAGAAAAAUACCUUUCCUUGAUCUUGACAGUUCAAUUGCCCGAGGUCCUUCAUCUCAAACUUACGGGCAAGAUGCUCAUGCAAUGUUGUCCUUUCUUCAUGAUCAUUUCCAAUCACCAUCAUAUUAUCAACAUCCACAAUAAAAGAUAUGGUUUGUUUUUCAUUAAUUAUGCAUAUCAGAUAUUUACAAUCAGGGGCAACUCCAUAUACACUUUUUUCUAGGACAUUUCCAUGCAAAAAUACAUUCUUUACAUCAAACUGGUGUAAAGGCUAGUCAGGAUUUGUUGUUAGAGAUAAUAAAAUAUGAACAGUAUUAAUUUUGGCCAUUGGUGAUAAUGUCUUCAUAUAUUUACAAUCAGUUUUGCUUUACACUGUUCAAUAAUUUUAUCGGCUUUGUAUAUAAUGGUGAAGAUCCAUCUACAUCCAAUACGUAUCUUUUCUUUAGCAAGUCAACAACUUUCCACUUUGAGUUUUUUUAGAAGGCUUUCAUCUCUUCAUUCAUUUCCAAAGAAUUAGUUGACAAGUUAUCAAAUGCUAUAAAAUCCAAGUUUUGCAAAGGAUUAGUUGAAGUCAGCACUUCAUCUCUAUUCUCUCUUUGAAGUGAGGACUCAGAGUAAUACAUUUUAAUUUCAUGAAAGAUAACAUCAACGGUAAAAUAAAGCUUGCGAGAAGGGGGGUGAUCUCACCAAUAGCCUUUUUGACACCAUAACUAUUUUUUUUUUAUUGAUCAUUAUAUUUUUUAUUUGAUAAUAAAAAAAAAUAGACUAAAAUCGUUGAUAAUUAAUAAUUAAUCCUGUUGUACAUAAUCUAGCAUAUUGAUCCAUCUAUUUCUCAUUUAAUGUAUAUUAAAAUUAAUUUUCCUCUCUUAAUUUUAUUUCCAAUUGCAACUCUCCUAAUUCUUGAAAGAAACUUUAGGUAAUUGCAUGGGUUGCUCGUGUUUUCUCAUAAUUAACCUGUUUAAGAAAUAUGACAAUCACCGGUCACCACCUAAAAUUGCAGUCUUCACUUCAUCGAUAAAUGUAUGCAUGAACAUCUAUAAUGCUCGUUAUCAUUGGCUUCCAAAGAAUUUACCCGGUGCUAUAUAUAUAUAUAUUCUCUUAGCAAAUUUAUGAUAUGCAUCUCGUAAUAAGGGUUUUGUUCUUCUAGAGUUCAAUUGCCGUUCAAGUAAACAAGCAAAUAUGUUAACUAGAAACUGAAUGUGUGUGUGUGUACAUAUGCAGGUACUUUCUCUAGGGAGAACCCAUUAUCCAUGAAUCCUCAAACGCUCCCCAAAUCAACUAAAAAGAAGGUAUAUAUUCUCCUUUGUUAUUUCUGUACACAUUCCCCUUAUAUGUAAUUACUCUAUUUCCUUUUCUAAAUAUAUAUUUUUGUGCACGUAAGGUAAUUGAAGCCUCGGAAAGGAUUAAAAUACUUAAAGGAAAAAUUGUACAAUUCCAUAAAGAUAAUGCCGUCUUCAGUGCGGAAGCACGUCUGUUGCAAAAGACUCUCGCUCUACUUGGCAACAUCAGUGCGCAGAUCACUUCCAUUUCUGCUAAGAAAAAUGAUAUGCUGGAAUUGUUUUUCAAUAACUAUAUGGUAAGGAUGCCCUUCUAUUUCUCUGGUACUCGGUUCUAAUUUUAUCUUCUAAUUUAUUAAAGUAUGAUAGAUAACGUUUUUAAAAUCCACAUCAUUGAAUUUAAAUCAAUAGUUUGGAGUUGUGUUCAUGCAUGAAUAUUGGAUGAUUAUUGAAAUAUAUGAUUAAUGAGUAGUCGUGAUUUUUAAAAGAAAUUGUAACAAUUUCAAUGGUUUAGAAUUUAGAUUCUUCAUACAUAAUCGAUUUACUCAAAACCACUCCAUAAUUAAUAUAUAUGAAUUGUUGGGGAAUUCGACCGGUGAUGUUCUGAUCAUUGCUCAUUGGAGAUUAAGUAUACUGACACAAUAUUUAACGUGGUUCGGCAAACCGCCUACAUCCACGGGAGAAGAGCAAAUAUUAUUAAAGAUAGAUAAAAAAAGGGUUACAACACACAUGCAGUAGGAGAAUCACUUCACUCAAACUCAAUUCUCAUUGCUCUCGCACAUUGCUGUCAUUGGCAACCACUCCGCUUUCUCUUUUCCUCUCUUCUCUUCACACACUCUCUUUCAACUUUGUUCUCUAACUUAUGCCUCUAUUUAUAGGCAUUAAUAGUGUCACCAACUCCAGCUCAUCACCAUUUUAUUAAUGGUUGGUGCAACUUGUGAUAAUAACUCACCAACAAAUGUAGCCUUUUGACAAUUACCUUCUCUUCUAGAAUAUGGUUGUAGAUGCUGCCACAUAAGUGGCAAUAUCCCAACAAUGAUUUGUCUAAGCUGAAACUUAAUACACUAUUAACAAAUCAGUGAGAUUAAUACAUGGCAGAAUGCAUGUCUCCUUUCACAUGCAGUUGGAAACAUAAUUAAAUAAGCUCCACACAUUGGAAGCAUGCCCUGUUUAAUGGGGAAGGCCCGUUAAGUUGGGUGUAUAAAGCCACUCACUUUUUCAAUUUUCAUAAUGUCCCAUCCCACCCACCACAACACUGGUUGUUUAUCACGAGCUUUCAACUGGAAAGAAAAUCCAUAGAAUGGUUUCAAGAAAUGGAGGAAAUUGGUGCUUUGACUAGUUGGGAAUCAUUUGUGAAGGCUUUGCAGAUUCAAUUUGGGCCUUCUACAUAUAAUAACCCCAUAGAGGCCUUAAUUAAUUCAAGAGGAUUAUCAGAUGCUCAUAAGUUGAGUUGUUUUUUGAGAGGAUUAUAAGAUGAAAUCAAGAUUACCGUAAGAAUGCUCAGUCCUUCAAAUUUGAUGGUUGCAUAUAGGCUUGCUAAAAUGCAAGAGGAAAACCUCAGUCUAGUAAAGAGGAGUUUAAGGUCCAAUGCUACAGUAACCCAAUGAAGAAUACCAAUAUCAGCCCCAACUAAAAGUGAAAACAGGCCUUUCCUACUGAAGUUUUUUUUUUUUUUUUUUUUAUGAUAUCCGAGUAUACAUUCAAACUAGAAAUAAGCACUUUAGGCAUCUAAAAAGAGUGUUACAGACCUUAGUUAAGCAUCAAUUAUAUGCUAAGAAGUUAAAAUGCAGGUUUGCUACAAGAGAGGUUGAAUACCUUAAUUAGUCGGUGAACAAUAAGUUUUGUCAAAACUUUAAAGUUAACAUUGCAUAGACCGAUCGGUCUAAACUGGUGUCGGAAUUCUGGAUGUGAGACAAUGCCUUCCUAACUUCCUCGUCUGCCACCGGUUCCAACAGCUGAUCUCUAAGCACCUGAUCUAUAUUCGGGAAGGCAUUGUAGAUGGGAAAGGCUUGUCCCGAAUUGUCCUGACUAAUGAAUUGCUUCUUGUAAAACCGUACAACCAUAAGCUUUUACAGAAUAUUGACUUGUUUUUUCUUUUUUCUUUUUUUGAUAAAUGAAAAGUAUUCAUAAAUCAAAAGAGAAAGAUAAGGGUUCUGCCCAAACAGAGCUAUUACAGAAAAGGCACAAGCCCAAAACUACAUGAAACAAAUCCCUGAAUAAGAUGAGAUAAAUUAAGAUGGUGGGAAAAAAAAUAGUGACUGUAAUGAAAAAAUUGUAAGGAUCAUUUUUUUUUUAGUUGUAUAUUUUCUCGAAACAUUUGGGAAUCAAUUCUGCAAGGCUGCAAUUAUGUUGCAUUAACCCUUCUACUUCUUCCAUUAUCAUGUAUCACAAUCAAUCUAUAAUUUCUUUUACCUAUAAAAAAUGUGCAGUUGCAAAACCUUGGUCAAGGAAGCACAAUAUCUGUCAACACACAGGUACGAUUAUUUACUAUAGUUUCCUCUUUCUAUAACCUAGCUUGGUGCACUCAUUAGAUUGUUCACAAAGAUGAGACAAAUUAAGAUAAUUAGAAGAAUUAAUAGUGACUGUCUUCUUUGUACUGGUUAUAACAUGGAACUAAGAGAUCAUUUGUUUUUUUGGUUGUACGUACUCUCAAAAUCAAUCAUGCAAGUUACUUUUAAUUAUAAUUUGUAUAUGUUUGUUUAUUUAGUUUUUCUGAGGAGUAUAUUCCUAUUAGAUAUGCAUGUUUGUAAUCUUGACUUGCUAAUCUCCCGGCUUUGUUACUUUUAAUCUUUAAUAUAUUUUUACAUUUUAUUCGAAAAAAAUCAAGCAAGCAAGGCUACAACUGCGCUGCAUUAACCCUUUUACUUCCCCGUUAUCAUAAAUCACAAUAAACCUAAUAAUUUCUUUUUCCAACAAAAAAAUUACAGUUGCAAAAAAAUUGGUCAGGGAAGCACACUUAUCAACACGCAGUCUCUUCUUGGAGAUGGAUGAUUGUUUUUGUGUGUGGAGACCGGAAAGAAUAAUACACAUAUUCAUAUUGUUCUUGCCAUUAAUUAAUAGCCCCAAAAUAAUAGUUCUAUAUGUAUAGAUAUAGAUUUUGGAUUUUGAAACCAAACACUUGUGUAGUUUUUUAAAUUGUAACACAUUACAAGCAUCACAUAAGAAUAAACUAUUAUAUGAUUAAAAAGUACUCACAAAGGGGAUUGAUUACAAAAACAAUACAUUAAAUAUAUGUCUGCACACAUUUUGAUCCUCUGCUAAUAAUGUAAAAACACUUUUAACCGAACAUUAACUCAUUUUCCUUUUCUCUUUAUAUAUAUUUGUAACUCUUUACAAAAAUUUCGUAUUUGCAGCUCCCAUUUGGAAUGACUCCGGACAGCACAUUUGGCACUGGAGAGGCAGGGCUACCUGUUCAUCACCCACCAGUUUAUCAGUCUAGAGACCCGGCAAUAGAGUCAAUGGGGCUGCCUCAAUCACAUGUCCCCCAAGGGUUGGCACAUGUAUGUCUCCAUUUUACGAUACUUACUUAUUUCUUUAACGUUUUUUAAAAUCAAAACUUAAGUUUAAAUAGAGCUGAAUCUUUGGUAUAUUUAGGAGAAACAUUACGGUAGGGGAGGGAACCUUGGAUAAUUUUUUAAAAUAUAUAUAUGUGUGUGUGUGUGUGUGUGUGUGUGUGUGUGUAUUGAAAUGAAUGAGUAUUACCUCUUUCUGUAACCUUGUUGUACUUGUCCACAAAGAUGAGACAAAUUAAGAUGGUCAGGAGUAUUCGUGCUCUAAUUAAUAAUUGUAAAUUUUACAUAUGUAGGAGAACCAGGGUCUGGAGCUAAUUGAUGAUCUAACCUUUAGUCCUAGUGACUUACUGUGUUUUGACAUCAAAGAAGCUCGGGAAAAGGAGACAACAAGCAGCUGAAUGGUGAGGAGAGGGACUGGAAGAUUGUUUACAGGCGUUACUUUUUCUUUCUAGUUUUUCUUGAAGAUCUUGGGAGAUACUAGUACCAUGGCUUCUCUUGUUUGUUUUAAUUUCUUUGUUUUGAGUUUGGAUGUACUCUGAUGCUAAUAAGUUAUGUUGUGUGGUUAAAUUGAAGUUUUUGGAAUUAAAAUUAAUUGUCUCGCGUAUCGUUAAUAUGAAGGAAUUACUGAUGAAAUUACACGAAACCUUUUAGCUAUUUAUUGAUUUGCUCAUCUUUUUUAUUGCUUCAAAAAUUAAAUCUACAAUUAGAAUUGAAAAAAUAAUAUAUAUAUAUAUAUAUAACCAUUAAAUCUACUUCGUUUAUAAAACUCUUAAUCAAUUACCAAUUAUAUGGUAAUUGAUGCCUUUCUUCUUCUGCAAUUCUCCUCCUCUGUUGCUUGGUGACGAUUGCGGACACGUGAGAGCAGACAUCACACAGGAUGUCUGAAAAACACAUGGGCUUUGAGCCCGAUAACAUGGUUGGGGGUUACAUACCUCAAAAGCCCGGGAAAACUAUCAAAGCUAAUGGCCCGCCGCCCGCAUAGAAUGCCAAUCAAAACGAAGCCUUCAGAAUAUGCAAGAUUACACGUGGCGUGUCUUUAUCCAUUGUAGUUAUUACAUUUGGUCUAGAGCUUGGUCGGUGCAAGGCUGGGUCGUGGGUUUGCAGAUGUAUCUCAAAAUUAUAUUGUUUUGAAUUUAUAAAAUUAAAAUGAUAUUAUUUUUUUAUAAAAUUAAAAAAAUAUAUAUUAUUUGUUGGAUAAAAAUUAAAAAUAAAAUUCUUAGAGCAGCCAAAUCUCAUCCAAAUUUGCUGAAAUCAAUUAGGUCAUAAAUUAACUUAUUAGGUUAUUUAAAUUUACCCGGGUAAGUUUUCAAAACAAUUUAAAAUAAAAUUCAAUUUUGGUCAAGCUCAUAACUCGGUCAAACAUAUUUUAAUUAACUAUAAACUAAAAGAUGAGGGGUUUUGGUGUACCCCUCCUCACAUAGCACUCUUCGUUUGAAUAGUGUUUUGCUUCUUAUUUUUUCUUUGAAUUUUUUUAAUUAAUAUCUUUUUUUUAUUUUAUCUUUCAAUAUUAAAUUUGUUUUUUUAUAGAAUUAUCAUACUCUCAUGACAUAGAUUACGGGCUUGACGAAUUAACUCAAUUUGACUUAUUAACUCGGUUGACUCAAGUUUUUUUUUUUUCUUAAUUAACCUUUUUUAAAAUUUCAUCAUGUAAUAUUAGGUUAAUUGAAUAUUAGACUUCAUGAUUGACUUUUAUACUUUUUGUUAUGUUAUUUCAGCCUCAUGAUCUGGAAAUAGUGCUUGAUGAGUUAACACGGGUAGACUUAAGUUGUUUAUUGUGUCAUUUUUUUUAAUUUUUUUAUUUAAUACUAAGUUGGUUAUGAAUCGAGCUUCAUAAUCUUUUUUUUCAUUUACUUUUUAUAAGGAUAUAUUGAUCUUCGAAUAAUUCGGUGAUAACUAAUGAAUCUCGUAAAAUGAGUAUAUUGCACCUAAUAACUCGAGUGAAAAUAACAAAACUGUUACUACACUGUUUUCGUUAUCGGUGCUAUUGAGCAUGAGUGAACGGUGUUUUUCAAAGGGAUUUUAACUUUUGUUAAUAAUUUUAUAUAUUUUGCUACAUCUGUUUGAAUGAUCAGUUGAUUUUACCUCCGCAUUGCAUAUUUUGAGUUUUGAAAUUAAAAUUAUUUGCUAUUGACGAAAAAUUUAUCGGCCACUACAUGGUAGUGGGCUUUCACGUGGUGGACCCGUAAUAUAUACUGUGAUAUUUUCUGCAAGUCUUGGUCGUUUCUUUUAAAUAAAUUCUCGAAGUCUUUGUUUGCAUUUUAAGUCUUGGUCAAUAAUUCAUAUUGAUAUGAGCGAAUGGUUCCUCUGAGCAACAAAGACCACCAAAGCAGCACAAGUCUUGCUGCUGUUCUCAGUUUUGCGACCAACAGACUUGAACCCUUGAUUUGAAGCUGGUUCAUGUGUUAGCACAAACGAACAAGCUAUAUAUUGUUGAGUCCAGCUGCAUGUUAUUCAUUAUUGCAAACUUGAAUAUUCUUCCUUUUUUUCCUGCUCCUAAUGAUCAACAUUUAGCCAUGAAUGGUAUGUUUUUAGUCUGUCACUGUUUGUUUAUCUACUUCUCUUGAUUCUUACCUCUGUUUCUUGCCUGGUUUAAAAUAUUAUGCAGGAAUGAAGACGAGAAAAAAAGAGAGAGAGGUAGAAGAUGCUGGAGGCAUUGUCAACAAUGAAAAAGGAAUUCCGCGAUUUAAGACUUUGCAACUGGCUAGCAGCUCAUGCGAUCUAUCAACUUGAGCAUUUUACAGAUGAAACUGCGUGAUUUGAGUGCAUUUACCACAUCAGAACUGGGAAGACAAGAUGCAAGAAAGAGACUAACAUUUGCAGCUGGCCAGGCACUGUCAUAUGAUAGACUAGGCAAAAUCAAGUAGCCGAAAAAGGCCCAAGGAAGAAGAGGAGGAGGAGAAAGAGAAAGAGAAAGAAAGAGAGCCCAACAUGACAGACCCAGCCCAACCGGAGAAGAGGAAGGGAAAGGCCCAAACUGGCUAGCAGUUGAGCCAAUGACUCCAUCGGAGAAGAAAAGAAAGCCCAAUUUAGCAACUUGUUGGGCCAAAUGGCCUAGACUUCGUCAAAGAUUUGAGAAAACGUAAAGUCGAAAACAAAACAUUUGAGCUUCGAACAAGCUUGUAUUUUUGGUGAUGUGCAGUCGAGGAAAGCAAACUGGCCUCUAAGAGAGUGAGAAAAGGUAUAACUGAAUAGUUCUAUUAAAUGUUGAAGUGUGAACUGAAUUUUUUUUAUUCAUUCAAUGAAUUAUUAUAGUAUUUAUAGUAUUACAUAAGUGUUAUCAACAGAAUCAGUUGUAUCAGUUGUAAAUAACAGACUUUGUAACAGAAUAUAACUGAAUGUAACCUCCUAUUCAACACGUGCUUAACUUAAUAAUGCAGCAGCGUUAGUCGUUUCUUCAGCGUCUUCAUUGUGAAGCUGCAGGCUGUAGACGUCGGUGUUGCUGAAUAUAUUCAAUACGCCCCCCUCAAGAUGAGAUUCAUAAACAUGUUAGGGAGAAUAAAUGUUAUGAACACUCAUCUUGGAUAAUAAGGGAUGAAAAUGAGAUGAACCAAGAGCUUUGGUAAAAAUAUCAGCCAACUGGUGUUGAGAAGAAACGUGAAAAGUGCGAAGAACACCGGAUUGAAUUUUCUCACGAACCACAUGACAAUCAAUGUCAAUGUGUUUGGUACGUUCAUGGAAAACGGGGUUGGCAGCAAUGUGAAGAGCAACUUUACUAUCGCAAUAAAGGAGAGCAGGUUGUAGUGGAACAUGUAAGUCAGUGAGAAGGUUGCGAAGCCACACAAUUUCACAGCAGGUAGACGCCAUGGCUCUGUACUCAGCCUCAGCAGAAGAACGAGAGACUGUAGUUUGUUUCUUGGAUUUCCACGAAAUCAAAGCAUUAUCCAGAAAGACACAAUAGCCUGUGACUGAUCGUCGAGAGUCCAAGCAACCAGCCCAGUCUGAAUCACAGAAUGCUUUCAGUUGAAGGCUAGAAAGGACUGGGAAGAACAUGCCCUGAGCUGGAGAGGUUUUAAUAUAUCGUAGAACUUGAGAAGCUGCAUCAAGAUGAGGAGCCCGUGGCUUGUCCAUAAACUGACUUAAAACCUGAACAACAAAAGAAAUAUCAGGUCUACUGAGAGUGAGAUAAAGUAAUCGUCCAAUAAGGCGUCUGUAGGAAGUAGGAUCAGCUAAAAGUUGGCCAGAAUCUCUAGAAAAUUUCACAUUAGGAUCCAUAGGAACUUUUGCCGGUUUGGAAGCCAACAAACCAGUGGUUUCAAGUAUGUCCAAUGCAUACUUGCGCUGACAAACAAAAAUCCCAAGCUCACUGCGAGCUAUUUCCAACCCAAGAAAAUACUUCAAUGGACCAAGGUCUUUAAGCUUAAAUCUGUCGUUAAGCAUGUGAAUGAAUAUGGAAACAGCAACUGAAUUAUCACUUGCAACAACGAUGUCAUCAACAUAAACUAAUAGGGCAAUAAAGAAAUCUGUCAAAGAUCGAGUGAACAAAGUGUAAUCAGCCUUGGACUGCACGAAACCAAAUUCAAGCAAGGCAGAAGAAAAUUUGGCAAACCAUUGCCGUGAAGAUUGCUUUAAACCAUAGAGUGAUUUAUGUAACCUGCAGACCUUGGACCCCCCCGCUUUAGCAAAACCAGGUGGCAAUGUCAUGUAUACUUUUUCAGCUAAAUCACCAUGAAGAAAGGCAUUAUUCACGUCCAAUUGAUGAAGAUGCCAGUGUUUGACAGCAGCAACUGCUAAAAGGGUUCUGACAGUGGUGAGCUUAGCCACAGGAGAGAAAGUAUCAUAAUAAUCCAACCCUUCACACUGAUUAUACCCCUUUGCAACAAGCCUAGCUUUAUACCUCUCCAAAGUGCCAUCAGAUUUUAACUUGACUUUAUAAACCCAUUUGCAGCCAAUAGUGUGUUUAGAUGCAGGAAGAUCAACAACAGUCCAUGUGUUAUUCAAUUCAAGAGCUUUGAUUUCAGUAUCCAUAGCAUCACACCAUUCCUUACUACGGAUAGCUUGAGUAUAGGAAGUAGGCUCAGUAAGAGCAGAGACAGAAAGGCUAAAACAUUUAUGAGCAGGAGAAAGAUGAGAGUAUGAAAGAAAAGAUUAAAGAGUAUAAGGAAUACCUGAAGCUGAAGAGGAAGGUGCAGGUGCUGAAGAGGAGGUGGCAACAUGACAAUGAUAGUCAUGCAAAUAUCCAGGUUUGUGUUUUAUCCUAGAAGACCUCCUGCAUGGCUGAGAAAUGAGCUCAGAAGGGGAUGGUAGAAGAGGUGCUAAGUCAGAAUAUAGAGGAGGGGAAGGUAAGGUAGAAUUGAAGGGUGAGGGAGUAACAGAUUGAAAAAUAGAAGAAUUAGAAGGUAUUGGAUCAUUGGAAGGAUCUACUGAUUCAUGCAGGGGGAAAGGUAAGGGAAGAACAGAAUCAGUAGGAGAAAUAGGAUGUGUAAGUGCAAACAGAAAGAUAGUUUCAUGGAAUAUGACAUUGCGGGAGACAAAAACUGUAUGUUUAUGUAAAUCGUAGAGUUUGUAUCCCUUGAUGUGAGAAGGAUAUCCAAGAAAUAUACAUGGUUUAGCUCUAGGAUCGAAUUUAUAUCGAUGUCUAAGUAAAGUAGAGGCAUAGCAGAGGCAUCCAAACACUUUCAAAUGAGAAUAGGAUGGUCGAGAAUGGAACAAAGUUUCAUAAGGUGAUUUGUUGUGUAAGACUAGGGUGGGAAUGCGGUUGAUUAAAUGUACUGCAGUAAGCACACAAUCUCCCCAAAAAGGUAAGGAUAAAUGAGAUUGAAAUCGAAGGGAUCGAGCAACGUUCAGAAUAUGUUGGUGUUUGCGUUCAACAGUAGAGUUUUGCUGAGGGGUUUCAACACAGCUCAGUUAAUGGAUUACACCCUUCGAUGCAUAGAAUGGACUCAUGUGAAAUUCAACACCAUUAUCUGAUCGAAGGGACUUUAUUGUGGUAUUGAAUUGUGUCUCAACCAUAGUAAAAAAAGAUUGAAUAUGAGUGCUGGUUUGAGACUUAUUGUCUAAGAGGUGAAUCCAUGUGAAUCUGCUAUAAAUCAUCGACAAUAGUUAGAAAAUAGGAAGAACCACUAAUGGACUUAGUAGAGAAGGGGCCCCAAAGAUCACAGUGAAUGAGAUCAAACGGUUUUGCAGAAUGUGUAAAGCUGUGAGGAAAGGAUAAACGAUGUUGUUUAGCCAAUGGGCAAAUGCUGCAAUUUGUAUUAGAUUCAUGUAACACUUGAGGGAUUACAUGAGAGAGUAAUUUCAAAGGAAAGGCUGAAGGGUGGCCUAAUAUAUAAUGCCAUAGACUAGUGUUUACAGAAUGAACAAAAAAACUA